UAUAGUAAGGGAGCUACCAAUUGAUUUUUAUGGGGGGGCUAGGAUGAAAUUUGAAAAAAAUAGGCAGGACAGGAGUUUUGAGUAAAAAAAAAAAGGCAGGAUGAGACACAUUUUUUAUGUAAAAAAAGUCAGGAUAAACUAAAAAAAAAAAGCAGGACCGAAUAGAGUGAAAAAUAAAAAGGCAGGACAGAGAUUACAACUAAAAAAAAAUGCAGGACAAAAUUUUUCAUCCUAGCCCCCCCCCCCCAUAAAAAUGGUAGCUCCCUAAACUUAACUUUGAUUUAAGAAAUGAAUACAUGUAUUUGAAGAAAAAGUGAGAAAUCAAAAGGGUGAUGUCCCUUUGAUCAGGUAAGCUGGUUUACCACCAGCGUUUAUUAUCUGACAGAUAUGCAUGCAUGGUGACCAUACAAACAAUGAAAUCAACAAAAAAUCAUUAUAAACUCCAUAUGUCCAAAGCUCUUUUCCGGAUUUUCCUUCACCAAAAACGUUUAUAGUAAAAUAGUUGGAAGCAAAAUUAAGGAUCUAAAAGAACCAAUACAGGUUAAAAGCUGUAUGACCAAAAUGACCUACAAAUAAUAGCAUAAUCCCUAUAAGGUCAAGGAGGUUGAAAUCUUAGUCCUUUUUGUAAUUUGUCUGUCGAGAGUCUCUCUAAUAACAUUAAUUGUUACAAAAAGAUGUUACAGUAUGAUACGUUUAACUUAAGUCUUAGUAUUUAGUAACACAUUAGUAGCACGUGUCAGUAUAAGUUAUUAUAAUUAUCAUUUUAAGUACAGAAGUCCUUGUGUCAAUUUUUUACUAAAUAAAUCUCUUAUCUACUUUUCAAUCGAUCUCAAGUUAACAAUUUUACGUUGAACAUUCCAAUCUCUUAUUGUUUUUUGGGGUUAUUUUUUUUUUUUUCAUUUAGAAAUAAAUAAGGCAUACAAUUGUAAAUGGCACAUAACCAGUUCAUGCUGUAACCAUGCAAACGUUUUGUAAUAUCUGCAUCAAGGUGAGUCGUAAACCAGAACAGGUGUUCAUAGCACUUUGUAUCGUUUUGCAUAUAAAUCUUAUCUCUUAACUAAUCUGUCUCGAAUCCGUUCUUAAAUCGGUUUGCCAAUUUCUAUAUUAAUAAAAAUUGACCUCAUCAACCACAAAAAUGUUAACAUUACCUUAGAGAAAAGAAUUCACAUAAAAGUGAAGGACUAAAUUGCCGUAAAGCUCAAAAGAAACAAGUUACGUAAUCGGUUUCUGCGUAAGCACAUAUUUUUUCCGCCAUAAAUCAUUGAUGUUUACAACUUUUGUUAAAGAGCUCGUAUUGCAAUGUGAGUGUUAGGGCGAAAGGUUCGUUUUCAAGGACUCUCGAUAACGAUGUCAUUGACAUCCUGACGAACCACCCACGUGACAAGGCCAGUGACAUCAUAAUCAAUAGGUCGUGAUUAGGGCCUGAUCUACGCGAUGCGAAGUACUAAGAUUAUAAUAUAUGUAUAUGAUUAUUCCUGAUUUGUAGGCUGAGAAUUUGAAAUCACUACUCGUGCACUACAUAUCUUCUCAUAUGGCGGUGGACAUCUAUAGGAAUGGAGCUUUGGAAAAAGUAAAAGGGCGAUUGCAAAAAUUGUUGUGGCGGAUCCAGGGGGUCCCCUCCCCCGUGGUUAGAUCGCCCUCAAACAAUCUCCUGUUUCACCCUACCCCCAAACCACACACACGCCUAAACUUAUUUAUUUUCACUUCCCGCCUUAAAACAAAUUUUUGAGUCUAGGAAUUUGGAAUGAACUACAAAUUAUUUGGCCUUUAAAGUCUUCCACAAAAGACAAACGAUCGUUUUUUAAAUGUAAACAAACUUUUACAUUUUGUCCUAAAAAGGAAAUGAUUAAAUUUAAAGACCGAUAUGUUUGAAGGUGGAUUAAGUUGGCCGAAGGUACAAAAAUAAUCUUCAUCCCAUCACCCUCCCCAACCACUUUAUGGAGCUACACGUACAUGUACAUAUGAUCGCAUAUGGUUUAUGAAUAUAACUUGUUCCACUCUAAACAUGGCCUAGUACGGAGCACCCUUUUUUCAAAAAUCUAUAUCUGCAUCUGUUGUAUAACAAUUAAUUGACAUAUUAGGUUACAUAAUAAGAUCAGAGCUUUUAAUAAUACCUUUGAUUUAUGUUAUUAACACUUCGUAGAAUUUUCUUUUACAUGGGGCUCUGUGUGGGGUUUCCAGAAUACAAAAUGAUGGACCAAGACUACAAAUAUAAAGAAUAAAAACAAAUGGGCACCUAAAGUAAAAAAUGGAGAUUAAAGGGAGGCUUUAAAAUAUAAAAAAAACAUAGAUUACUGGAAACCAAUAUAGGAAAAUAGAAAAAUGACAAUUGUGAUUUUUAAGUCCCUCCUAAAUGAUAAACGCCUAACUCUCGUCAAUAUCAAAGGUAACAACUUUAUUGACUUAUGUGAACUGAUUUUUAUUGAACGUCUAUUUAAAAUUAUCGCAAGAGCAGUCAUACUUCUCGUCGCUAGUGUCAUUCUAAGAAAAGAAAUUUAAAUGGUUCCAGCUGGCCAGCAAAGAUGUCAACUUCUGCGUGAUUUGGUUUCUGGUUGAGAGUUUUCUCAUUUGCACUCAUACCAGUUCUUCUUACGUUUUGUACAUAUCGUCGUGUUGGUAUAUCUUACCAGCCAAGACAUGCCUUCAAGCUUCGGGCUAUGAAAAGACACAUUCUGUAUUGAUUUGAAAGUGAAAGCAUUUAAUGCUAAUAGAAAGAACAAAAAAUAAUAAAAAAGACAGAAGUACCGAAGAGGUUCGUUUUAUACAUGUUUCACUGUAAAAAAAAAAGUACACACCCUCCUCAACCCACAACCUCACCCCCGAUUAUCUAUUGUCAAUUGGUCGUCCCCAAAACUAUAAUGUUAAAAUUGGGUUAAUACCCUUAAAAAUGCAGAAAACCAGAAAACAGUAUUAUAUAUGAAAUCUCUAAUAACACAAUCACUGCAUGAGUUUCCAACAAACAUUUUAACCUUGUCCUCAAAAUGUACACCCGAACAAAAGAAACCUUGAAUCUAAAUUUAAAACUGUUAGUGACUCACACAUUACUCAGUGAUAAGUUAAAAACUUUGUUUUGUCAAUAUAUGUCGAAUUUAAAUACCUUACAGGUAAAAUGAUAAGCGAGAUACAAAAAGAAUUUUAUAAAUUCGACCUUGGCCUUGUCAAAAAAGUUAAUAACGGGGUCAUUUACUAUUAUAACAAUGUAACUUUAGACGUGGUCAUUCGGAACAUUGUACAAAUGUAUGCAAUCUGUCUUUCGGAAUUCUGGGUGUUUUAGAUAUUUGAAUAAAGGACGAUAAUUAUGAGGUUUAGGUCAGUGAGACGCUUGUUAGCUUAUCUGCACCGGGUACAUGUUAACAUUACCAAUGCAAAUUGACGAUAUUUUUAGAUCUUUUAGCGUUCAACACACAAGAUUUGAAUAUUUAACAUGUAAAUUUAUGAUAAAUACUCAAAGGAAUUAAGCUUUUAUGGUUAUUUGAGGAAAUUGAUUAACUAAAUUUAGAAAAUAUUUUUUUUAAAUUUGGCAGUUUUUGGAAAACAGAGUUAUAACAGCAAAUACGUAAUUUAAAAUGUUUUAAUAAGGAGAUGUGGUAUUAUUGCCAAUAAGACAGCUAUUCACCUGAGACCAACACAUGUAGAUCUAUAUAUAUAUAUAAGUCGCCAUACGGCCUAUAUACAUGUAUAACAAUUAGCAAAACCAAUACCGUACUGUCAGCUGUAAAAGGUCAGGGCAUGACAUAGUUUAUUUAUUUCUGUAUUUUAAGUGUGGGUUUUACAAGAUUGAUACGAAAAGUGACCGUUUUUUAAUUCCAUAUGAGUUUUCAAAAAUAAACUUAGAAUAAAUAGAUUUAAUAUCAAAUAUUUCAAUUCUUUUGCUUCUUUUGCAGUGUAUUUUAGUUUAUCUAUCUGGUAAACCAAGGAUUUAUGAAGGGAUUUUUACUAUACAUAUAUCCAUAGGGUUGAGAACUAUGACAAUUAAUUUUAGAAUAUUUACGUUACACACCCUAUUACCUGCCAUGAGUGUUUUACAGAAUAUAGCAUGUCGUCGGUAUAUUAUUUCUUAUUAUUUGUUAUUGUCUUUGAGCAAGCUUAUUUUUCAUAGUUUGUUCAUAUCUUAUGCUGUAUCAUCACUGUCCCAGGUUACGGGGGUGAGGAGUAGUGGGUAUUGAGACUGCUAUCCUCACUACUGUGAGGACGGGUGGCAUUGGGAGCGCUCAAAUACUAGAACACGUUUAGUUCAGUGGUUUGUAAAUUAUUUUGUCACGAAUUCGGCUUUGUAUAGGUUUUCAAUUGAAUCGUUUCACAACUUUAUGUAGGGGUCUUAUAUAGCCAAGUUGAACUCUACGGUAUGGUGUUUUUCUCACUGUUGAACAGUUGCCUUCAUUUUUUCCACUUCACAUUUGAACUUUCAAAUUGUUAAAUAUUCUCUUAAUGGAAAUCAUUCUUAUCCUUAUUUUAUUUUAUUUGUUUUCAUUCUUCCUAACUGUGCAUGAAAUAUGUUUCAGUCUUAAACUUCAACAAAAUAAAAGACAAAAGUACAAUUUAAUUCUUUAAAAUUAAACAUUUUAAAUGGUAUAUGUCUGGUCAAAUCCUCCAAUACUAACCCACGCACUCAACACCAAACCGAAUCACAUCAAUAGAAAAAAUACGCUAGAAAAAAAACUAUUACAAAAUCAUUGUGAACAAAAUGAAUAGGCAAAAUCAUUCUACUAUCUGAACAUAAAUCCACUUCAUUCUUCUUAUACACUAAAGUGUAUAUGCUGUAAAGUAUCUUAUCUAAGUAUAAACUAUUUUAAACUCUCAUACUAUUAUAUAUCUUUACUCUGACAAGAAUCUUUUUUUAAAAUACGACCCGAAUAUGACAUGGCAGUUGAUAAAAUUCUUAUGUUUGAAAUAUGAUAACCAUUCCAGGUAACUAAAGCUGAAUUUGGUAAACAAACCAUCAAUUUACAUGUACAUGAUUGUAUGUCCCUGGGUCUAACCGGUUAUUCACCUAUAGAUAUACGAUUAUAAAUACAUGUGCACGGGUUGGCUAAGGGGUCAGCAAGGAACAGUAAGGCCUUUAUCAAAUGAUAAUUCAUAUUGUUUUCAAAUAUCUUAAAUAGAUAUAAGAAGAUAUGGUAUGAGUGCCAAUGAGAAAACUCUCUAUCGAAGACACAAUUUGUAAAAGAAAACCCAUCAUAGGUCAAAAUACGGUCUUCAACACGGAGCGCUGACUCACACCUAACAGCAAGCUAUGAGGGAUCCCACAAUGACUAGUGUUUCUGCGUAAAAAGAUGGGGAAAAUAUAACGAGCGAAUGUUAACUUUCUUUACAUUUAAACAAAUUGUUGGGAAAAUUGUUUUAAUGUUUGUAGUCGGUUUCUCUUGUCAAGUGUAAUAUGUUGAUGUUGUUUAGUCAUGGCACUGUAACCUGUUGUUUCUAUAAAAAAAAUAUUAAUAUUUUAAUCCUCCCAAAAAUGUCUCAGCUUACUUGAUUGUGGUUACUCUUUUGGUUCCCCUCGAGUCUUAAAUUGAUAGUGUUUUUGCGAAAACGGGAAAAAAAAUAUUUUAAAUAUAGUUUAGAGGAUAGGUAAUAAUAUUUGUCACUAGUUUUCCCUCUGAUGGAAUCUAAUUUUAUGUGCUUUAUAAACAACAUAAAAUAACAUAUAAAGUAUUGCAGACAGAUAAAGGAAACAACAUUGUGACUGCCAAUCCAAUUAAGAAUUUGUUUUAAUGUUUGGUUGUAUUGGACAUCUGUAAUAAUAGACUGGGAAAUUUAAAACUUUACUUGCAAAUGAAUUGCAUAGAAAACGUUGUUGGAGACGUACAUAUUCAUGUAUGUUUUCCACCAAACAAAUUCAAUAAGUUAUGUUUGUUGUUGGGAACUUUCAUCUCCUGUCCUUCAUAUCAAAGCUCUGUGCCUGUUUGAAAGAUAUUACGAGUUUUUAGUUUCUAUACUCAAAAUGCAAAAAAAAUAUAUUCUUAUAAUCAAAGCACAGGUAGGGUCUUUCAGAUAUAAAUAAUUUCAUCGUGUUUAAAGAUGUACUUCGAUUCAUAUUUUACAAUAUUUAUUUUAUGUAAAAUUUCCAUUAUUUAUUCAAACUGUCUUCAACAUUGCUGAUGACAAUAAUUGAAGUCCUUUAGAAAACCUUUUUAUAAACCUUCCUUUCAGAAUCUAAUAUUCAAACCCCUGGUUUGUUGUGGCGUUUGUGUUGCUCAGUCUUUAUAGUUAUUUCUAUUGUGUAUCGAUGUUUGUCUUUCUUUUUGUUUAACCUUGACCUUGUCAGUUUAUUUCAAUCUAAUGAGUUUGAAUGUCCCUUUUGUUACCUUAAGUUUCGCCUCUCUUUUCAAUUGAAAUGGUUUUUAAACAACUGUCUGAUUUUGACCUUGAGAGAGAAACAAAUACAAAAUAAAGGUCAUAUGUCUUUGGUAGAGUGAACUUUAUGUACUUAAUCUCAUAUUGCUCCCGACACACGGCACCAAAAUGGAAAUAAAUGAAACGCAACAAAAUAAAUAGACGAGAAAAAUAAUUAGAACAUUAAGCCGAAAAAAUAUCACUUUGACUGUUAUUGACGUAAAAAAAAUACAAUGUAUACUCGAAGCAAGCAAAUAACGACGUAAUUAAAACUCUCGCAAGAUCAGAAAGGAAAUUACAUUUUAGAGGAAGUGAUCAGCUUUUCAUUUAAUUGUUUGGAUUGAUUUCUAGUUUUCUGACCUAUGACCAAAUUCUUAUCUAUUGCAAAUCAUUGAUCCUGUAUCUUUCAUAAUUGCCAAUAUUUUAUACAAGUCAUUAAAUUUUAUUCUAAAAGAAGCAAUUAUUUCUAUCAGUAAUAGAGAGACGCACCUGUUUAUUCAGCCAAGUUUUCUAGCAUUGUGAAUACUCGCGAGAGAUAAUUGACACUUGAAAUCGAUUUUUCAAAUUGACAUUUCUAUCAGUUUACAGUACUUGACCGUUCCGUUGCCUAGUACAUGAAACACCUUGCAUUGAACAUUUAUUAUAACGUUUGUUAAAGUAACUUUCGUUGUAUAAGACAAACAAUGGAAACUUUCACAAAGUAGCUUUUGUUGUAUUAUAACUCUAAAGUAGUCAUUUACGAAACUAAAUAUUUAAAUGUUCGUUGUUUUCAUAUACGAAACUAAUGUUCUUACAAAUGUUGACAGAUUCGAAAUUGGCAAAAUGUUUAAUCAGACAAGGCUGAAUAACAAUUGGCAGAAUAUUUGAUCAGACAAAGCUAGGAUUUUACAUCAGUUCAGAACACCUUUUUAAGUACCAAUACUUUUGGGAUCUGUUGGGUUGAAUUCUCAUAUGCAUUAUAACAAUAUUUCCUUUUUUAUGUAAGCGGGAAAUUGUGUUCAUUUUCACGUUUGUGCUUUGAAGUGAGUUUAUUCCAUCUGUUUCAAUAGCUAUUGUAAUGUCUUACAGCCUUUUACAAUUGACAACCAUAUAACAGCUAGUAAAGUACCUCGGAGAUUUCAACUUCAAUUUUUAUGAAUAUAACUGCUUGCUUAAAUUACAAUCAAAAUUGUAUAUAAUAUAUAUAUACAGAGAAAAUUAUGUGUUUUACAAUAAAAGAAAAUUAAAGCAAUGUAACUUUUUUCAUAUUUUCACUCAAAUCCGAAAAUAUUUCAAAAAUCAAUUUGAAAGUCUGUUUUAGCAGUGUUAGUUGUAAUUGAUAUAUUAUUUAUCAUUAAAACCCAAAGUGCUAAUAAGGUACUGAUUACACCAAUGAUACAGGGGACAUGGUUAAUUAAUGACCCAAGACACACAUUUCCAUAGACACUAAAACGAGAAAGCACAUAUUAAAACGAACGUUCAGUGUCGUUUUCCCCGUAUAUGGUGACAUUAGAUUGUUAUCGCGAGAGAGUAAUUGAUGGGUUUUCCUUGUUAUUCUUGAACUGAGCAUCGCAAAAGUCUUUAAAGAGAAUUUACACGACCUUUCUAUGCCAUUGAAACCUGUUUAAACCGAACCUCUUCGUGACUUAGAUUUUGCUCGGUUUUGUCAGGUUCACAAAACAUACAAUUUGAUAUGAUGGUUCUUAAAACAUGUUUGGUUUAUACAGGUUUUCGGUGUAUGCAGGAUUCGGUUUAGCCAGAUUUCACUGUAUGUGAUGUUGUUUUGUUAUGCCUGUUCUCUUCGUUUAUAGAGCAUACCAAGUUAUAAGCAGUUAUAAUUAUUCCCGACAAAUUUUAUAGAGACGCUAUACCAGGCAGCCAACAUCGGACUAGGAUGGAAUUUGAAAAAAGGCAGGACAAUAGUUUGAAUAAAAAAGGCAGGAUGAGACACUUUGCAAAAUAAAGGCAGGAUGACAAUUUAUGUUAAAAAAAGGGAAGACAAAAUAGAUUGAAAAAUAUAAUUUAAAACAGGAUAGAAAUUACCACUAGUCAGGACAAAAGUUUCCAUCAUCCCCCCCCUUUUUUUUCCAUAAAAGUAUAAAAGUAGCUCCCUUUUUUAAAUUUAAACUCCUCGUACGAAUUUGAAAACCCAUUUCUCAUCAUCAAAAUUUGGUUCAUGUUUUUGUCAUCAUUAUUCUCUAAAUUAAUUUAAACAUUUUACAAUUACACGAUAUUUCCUCACUAUUUUGCUUUUGUCAUAAUUCGAAAAUGCUUUUGCUUUGUUACUGGAUGUUUUUUAUCGGUUAAUAAAAGAAUUUUUCCGAAUUGUUGUAUUUUAUCGCAAACUCAAGUUCAUAUUCAUAUAUCGUUACAUUUGUUGACCAGUACAACAUGUAGUAUAAAAUGAGUGAUGAUGAGUUACGAAUUUAAAAAUCACAAUUGCCAUUAGCGACUACAGAACACCAAAUAGGGAGCACAUUUGAUUUAUGGGGGGCGGAUGAAAUUGAAAAAAGGCAAACAAGGUUUUGAGUAAAAAGCAGGAUGAGAACUUGCAAAAAAAAAGUAGGACGACAAUUUUAAAAAGUCAGUAACUAAAAAAAAAAACAGGACCGAACAGAGUGAAAAAUAAAAGGCAGGACAGAUACAAAAAAAUGCACAAAAUUUUUCUAGCAUAAAAUCAAAUGUAGCUCCUAACGUACAAAAAGGUAUUGGUAUAUACUUGUGUACGAAAACAACCAAAGCAUGCAGCUCCUGUAAUUCGGUGGUUGUCGUUUGUUUAUGUGUUACAUAUUUGUUUUUCGUUAAUUUUUUUAUAUAAAUAAAGCUGUUAUUUUUUUUCGUUUGAAUUGUUUUACAUUGUCAUUUCGGGGCCUUUUAUACUGACUAUGCAGUAUUGGUUUUGCUCAUUGUUGAAGGCCGUUCGUUGACCUAUACAUAGUUGUUAAUUUCUGAGUCAUUUUGGUCUCUUGUGGAGAGUUGUCGCAUUGGCAAUCAUACCACAUCUUCUUUUUAUAUCCUCAACAUUCUUCAACGCAACAGCUUCGGGAUGUUCCAUAUAUUUCCUAUGAUCUCUACAUCCUUUCGCAACUGGGUAAUUCGGUUCGUAAUUGAUUUUGCAAAUGAAAAUAACUGCCUUUCUUUCGACAAAAAUAAUACCCGUCUGACCAGUUCUAUUCGACACUUUACAUACAUAAAUAGCGUCAUUAUUUAAGUAAAAUCUCAAAAAAUUCAUUCAGGCUUUUCAUGAGUUUAAAACAUAGAUUUCAAAAACUAAAUUCGAUAUAAUAAUAAGGUGUGGUAUGAUUGAACACGCCACAAGAGACCAAAUGACUUUAACAACGAAGAAACACUGUAUACGGCAUUCAACAAUGAGCAAAACACAUACAGUAUUAUUAUAAUAAACCGAGAUGGCAAGUCUUAAAAACAAUCAUAGAAAACUAACGACAUGCUUUUUGAUUUUUAAAGUACUCUUUUAAGUAGCAUCUUAAAUUGUGUGUUUUUUUUAAUAUUUUCAUUACAUCUAGCUUUUUCAUAGUAAGUUUAAUGCUAAUAAUUCGGUUGUCCAUGGUAUACCUUUGCUACGAUGACUACAUACCUCGUUGUAAUUAGAAAGUCGAUAACCGGGAGGAACUGGAUUAUUCGUGUUAUGUUUAAGGUGUUGUAUUUAAGAAUUGAAUGCUUCUUUUUGUAAAUUUAUUGGGGUGUAAAAGCGUUGACCGAAGUACAUUUUGUAUGAAGCGCGGAAGCGCUUCAUUCUAAAAAUGUGCGCACGGUCAACGCUUUUACAACCCUAUAAAGUUACAAAAAGAAGCAUUCAAUACUUAUAAUUACAUUUUUUAGCUAUGAUCAUGAAAACACGAAUUUUAUAUAUUUUUUAUUUAAUUCACUGUGCACUUUAUUGUACGUUUAUCAAUGGAAUGUAUUGAGCAAUGCAACUUUACGAAUAACACGUGAUGUGCAGUUAGCCAAUCAGAAUAAAGUAUUAUAAUGAAACAUACAUCUAAUGUAAUUAUUAAGCUUUAAAUUAUUUUUCAACUUGAUAAAAAAAUUGAAAACAACACGUUAAAUAAUGUCUUGCGUCCGAAGCGCUGUUCUGGAUUUACCUUUAUCAGGAACGCUCAAAGCCAAACAUUUGAAAUCCGAAGAUGUAUAAGAAUCGAAACUGUCAUAGAGCUUUAUGUCGAAAAUACCUAAAAUAAUUAGCCAAAUUCAUCUAAAGCCAACUUUGUCUGAGGGAGUUGAAACCUUAGUUUUAUAAAAUGCAAAGAAUUGAAUUGACACGAUGAGUAGAAUAAGCUUGUAUCUGCAUGACAGUAAGUCGUACUUCUCAUUACUUAAUGAGACUUAAGCUGUUUACAUUGCUUUGUUUGUUUUCUAUGUUCAAAAUAAUCGUGCCAUGUAAAUCCCCCUUAAGACAUUGCAAAAAUUUUGUAUAUUUCAUGACUCAAAGUCGUCUAAAUGUAGUCACUUUAAUGCAUAUACAUUUUUGGUUUAAUAUUUUACCGUUUGAUAAUUAUUAAAAUGUUUACAAAUAAUAAAAAAAUUAUCUGGUGAUGUUGAUUAAUUCCCAAAUUUCAUCUAAAUCUUAAUCUGUUUUUCAACAUAACCUUUGCUUCAUAAGUCACGUGAUAGUUGUCAAUUACAUUGUAUCGUAUGAUCCAUACAGCGCGCGCUCUCCGUCUUAAUGGAUAAUCAAUGAAAAGAUCCGAACUAAAUGACAUUGAAUGACUAGAAGAUUAACUUCUAGACGAAAUGUUUGGAUUGCCGCUGUCAUUUUGACAGAGUUGAUUAAACCUUAUACCAAAAAAUCCUACAGCGUGAUGAUGCACCUAUCGGUUUUUAAUUUAAAGCUUGAACAUUAUUGAAAAUCCAUUCGGAGUAGCUCGUGCCAAACAAAUACAGUUGGAAAGGGCAUUCGGAAUAGCUCGUGCCGAACAGUUAUAGAUUUGCAUUGAUUAAUGUUCUUUCAAGAUGUAUGCUUAUUUGACCGUACAUAUAUCAUUAAAAACUAAUUCACUUUUUUUCAGAUCAGUGGUUAAUAUAUCUUAGUUUUUUAAGUAAAAUUCAACAAGUUGAAGAUGGUCUCAUCAUGGUGAAUCAAAUCGUAAGCAUGAUGAGUUGCAUCUAUACUGGACGUUCAGCAAGCAUCAUUUAAUAAUUCUUGGACUUUUAAUAUUGUUUUCUUCAUUAAACCGAGUUCCGUUGACCAAUUAAUGUAGCUAACUAACUUAAGACAUCACGUGACUUUGGUGACGUUGCAAGACGCGAUUUAGUGUCAUUUUUUCUUAAAAAAAAGUCUAUAACACCCCAUUUUCUAAUCUGUUUUGUGAUAUAUUAGACUUUCAUUUUCUUUCUGUUGUUUUCUGCAUCAAAUUAGUUUCGUAUUUUUCAUCUAUUUUGCCUUACAGCUGGCCAUCGUCAUUUUGUAAAAUAAAUGUCCUUGAACUGGCCAGAUGGUUUCAAAUACAAAAUGAAUUUUCCCAGCAGGCUAUAUUAACAGAUGGGUGGCAAUUUUGGUUUAUUGGUUCAUUUGUGAAAUAUAUAAUACAUAAACAAAAUAAUGAUCCCAUAAUUUGUUUAUGAGCAUACUAAAAAAAAUAUCAUAAAUAAAAAAAAUCAUCGGUAAAAUAGUUUUGAAUUAUUUAUUUACAACAAGCAGUUUAAUUUAAUAGUGGCGAUCAGUUGAUUUUUUCCCCUUAUGUUGCAUUGGUAAAUACCCUUCUAUUUUACGAUAUUGAUGAAAGGGAAAUGCUAACUCAACCGUAGCAACUGAGGUCUUUUCUCCAUUUGUUGCUUUUUUGAGUCUUACUUGUUUAGUUUAAACUAUUUUAUUUAUGGAUUGGGAACAUUUUGCAACUUAUAUUAAGCCCUUUACUUUGCGGUGCGAGGCUCCUUGCGACGGCAAUAGACUGCUCUUAGAAUUUACAAGGGUGCUUUACGUGCAAGAUAUAUGGCUUUCUCUUAACACGGGUCAGCCAUUUAUCGUCCCCUUCCGACGGACUAUCAUCGUUGAUAUCAUCUUACUUGUUUGGUCAUUGCACUGCUAAUUAUGGGUUCUUGAUGUUGCGCAGGGUAGGGCGAGGCGAAGGAGUUGCUCAUAUUAUAUACCUUUCAAUGUCAAUUGUCUCUUUUCUCUUUGAACUCAUUUUCUUUUUCUUCCAUUUCUUACAAAUACUUAAGUUUCAUUUGUAGUCCAUACGAUUCCCUUCCCGCAGGUUGUUAUCUAGAUGUGUUUAUUAUUUAAUUAAAGAUUGAAUUAAUCGUAUAAAAAAAUCAGUAAACACUCAACCACUGUUGCCGCUUGUGUCCUUGAACAGAUUGUAUAUAAAAUCAAAUUUCAUUGAUAAAUCAGUGAACAUAUUGCAGUGUUUGUAAAUAGCAAUUUUUUAUAUGUUCAUUAACAAAUAAAUAAUAUUUGUAUAUCGAAAAUUUACAAAGAAAUCAAUAGCAAUCAUUUUAAUAGAAAUAGUUAUUAAUUUAAAUCACUUAUAGGGGAAAAAUGGAUUUCAACCUAGAAGGAUAAAUGGGGUAACGUCAAUGAUGCAGCAAUUCUACAACCACUGGCGAUCUAGAAAUUUUCAUAAGUGGGGGCCACUACUGCCUAAGGGCCCUCAUCACGCUUCGUGAUUCCCUAUAAGCACCAAAUUUUUUCUCAAAGAGGGCCCGGCCCCUGCCCCCCUAAAUCCGCCUCUGACAACAAAAUGAAAUAGAGGCUAGUAGUAUACAGAGCAAUAUCUUUGGUAUCGAUUAGUCAACAAAUCUAUCACAAUUGCCAUGCUUCUUUUUGUGAUAAACUUGCAAAUUGAUACUAAGAGAAAAAAAGAGCGACUUUUAAUCCUGGUACCUUUGAUAACUAUGUACUAGAUUUCUAGUAUCUUAAUCCAGAACAAAUAUCAGGGGUCGAUAUAUAUCACACUUUCUUCGAAUCGUGUUUUUAAACUUUCACCAGAAACGAUAAAAUUGAGAAUGGAAAUGAGGAAUGUGCCAAAGAGACAACAACCCGACCAUAGAUCAGACAACAGCAGAAGGUGACCAACAGGUCUUCCAUGCAACGAGAAAUUCUCGCACCCGGAGGUGUCCUUCAGCUGGCCCCUAAACAAAUAUAUAACGGACUACUAAUUCAGCUAGCAAUUCUGAAUAUUAAAAUAGCAGCACUAUUCCGGAUAGUCAGUUUUCACUGUUAAUCAGUAAAACAAUAGGAUAAGGAAACAAAAAUUACAAAAAUUGUAUAUAUUAUAUAUAAAAGAACUUAAAACAACCUAAUAUAGGCAUGUGCCGGAAAGUAAUCAUUAAAAACUUGAUGGUAAUCCGUAACUAAAGAGGAAGAAGAGGUGUCGAAAUGCAUUAUGGGACCGGGGGAAUCGUACGGUAUCCUGUACUGUUGCCGACAUCCACGUCAUUUGACCUCUGCUGGAUAGUUGUUUCAUUGACAAUUAUACCACAUGUUCUUAUUCUUAUAUUGGACCAUUGUCCCAGACGUUUCAUAUAUCGUCCUUGGACAGAUAGUAUUUCAAAACAAACGUUGUGUUUUAAUCUAGCACGCGAUGUCAAAACACAGAUUGCAACAAAGGUUUAUAUUUUUUUUCAAUAACUUGAUCAUUAACAUGUUUUUCUCAUUUGAUAUGUAUUUAAGUGAAUAACAGGCCUUGAAUCUGAAUCUUGAAAUAUGAAACGCUUAUAAGGUAAAAGUCAAUCAAAGUUUAAUAGGGCUUGUCCAUUGAUCUCCUUGUUUACCUUUUUGGAUGAGGAUUUCCCGUUAUUCUUCCGAAGGUCGAUAAUUCGAAUUCUUCUGAAUACUCCGUCUUACGUCAUACACCUAAAAUAAACUGACAGUCAUAUGUAGCUAAGAGUGCUGAAAUCGAUGUUUAUUGACGAGUAUUGCCAGUUUUCCUGAAGAGGAUCUAUGGUGCACGUUGUGUUCUCCGUCCAUUUAUUUCAUCCUGUUGUUCACUAGCGUUAAUUUGGGUAUUGCAAAGCCAGAAUUACUUCAUUGGAAAAGCCAAAAACAGUCGGUUAAAGAUUAUGAACUUGCUAAUAUCAAGUUAAAUGUACAGAUGUUACCUAACGAAUUAAACUUAUCAGCAGAUUGUUACUUAUAUCAGCAGCACAACGGGUGCCACAUGUGGAACAGGAUCUGCAUGUCCUCCUUCCGGAUCACUGGAGAUCACUCCUGGUUUUUUGGGUGCAUGAGGCCCGUGUUAUUCAGUCUUUAGUUCUUUUAUGUUGUAUUUUGUAGACAGUGUGUAUUUUGGUUUAUUCAUUCUCUUGCCAUAACGUUGUCGGUUAGUUUUUGAUGUUCAAGUUUGAAAUUUUCUUUGGGAUCUUUUGCGCCUUUUUUUAAGCCUGUCUGUAUACAUUUCCGGUGCACUCCUACAAGUAAGACCGUUUUAUCACUCAAAUUCACCUUAAUAGCUAGGCAGGAAAGACAUACCAUUCCGGAGCACCUGCGCUUGUUUAAUGGGAAAUGCUUACCAUUCUGGAGCACCUGCGCUUGUUUAAUAAGAAAUGCUUGUACCAUUCCGAAGCGACAAAGCUUACGUCAUUUAUUGUGGGGUUUGUGUUGCUCAGUCUGGUGUUCUGUGUUUUGACAAGUGUUAUUUUUCUUUUUGCGUAUUUGACAUUAAGUGUUAAACUUUCCUCCACUUUAUAGGAAUUAUCGAGCAAGAUGAUGAAUUUUAAAGUGUACAGAAUGGAGAUUUACAUGAACACUUUAAUUUGCAUUUUUUUGGCGACAAAUUAUACUUUAAAUUGCGACACAAGAGUCGUACCUUCGUAUAAGUCCAAAGUACGAUUCUUUAUUUCUAAGGAAAUACUGCAGUAUUCGCGUGUUCUCCUCUCUUUAAAAUAUAAUGAAUGUGUUAAUUUUUUUAGACAUGAAAAAGAAAACUACUAAAUAUCGAUCUCGAAAAUUCACAAAAAAGAGAAAUAUAGGGAAACAUCAACAACAUCCAAGUAAUGAGUCUGCGUUAUAUGGAAAAAAAAUAUCUUAUACAGUGAAACCUGUUUAAACCUAACCUUUUCGGGCCUUAAGAUUUUGUUCGGUAUUGGCCGAUGUUCAGUUUUGUUAUGUUCACAACGCAUACAAUUUGAUAUGACGGUGUUCAAGAACAUGUUUGGUUUAUUUAGGUUUUCGGUUUUGCAGGAUUCGGUUUAGCCAGGUUUCACUGUAAAAAAAACUAGAUAAAGAAUAAAAUGUGCUGAAAUCUUGAUUGAUAAAUUGACAUUGGACGACCUUACAAUGCGUCAACCAAUUUACCCCGAAGAUCUUUACAUAAAGAAUAUUAUUAAUCAACAUUUUCUUUGCCCUUGGAACUCAUACAUUUUCAUUAUUGUAUUUCAUAUGAGGGCUUUCCAUUUGUCUUUUCUAUAAAUUAAUUUAUUUUCCUUGUUCAACAAUAAUGUCGUCUGCUCUAUUAGAUUCAGAGAAGUUGGAACCUUCGACGGCCAUUAACUAUAUAACCUAGGCUAUCAGUUGUGCGUUUUAUUAGCAUAAGGAAUUCGCAAAAUAUCUUAAGCUUCUAUUUGAUUGUAUUUGUAGGAAUUCGCUAGGGUUCAAGUAGCGGACAUUACCGCGAUUAACAGCAGUAGGCUACACAUUGUUUAUGGAUUACUGAUUUAGUGUCCAUUCAAUUUCUCGCUGUAGCAUGCACUUGCAUUAUUUAUGAACUAUCAAUUAACGGGAUUGUGAUCAUAAAAGCGUGCAUAAAAAAUAUGAUGCUUUUCUUCUAUUAAUUGGUAUCGUUCUUAUCAAUAAAUAACAGACCAUAUCUUAUACUUUGUGUAGAUAAAUAUAUUAUUCAGUCCAACAAAGAAGAAUUAUUAUCGGAAAAGCAUUAUGUCUGGUUCACCAAUUUUAAUUAUUCCUCCGAUUUUAAUAGUCACAUUUAAGUAAAUUGAUUACAAAUGCCAUGGAAUAGUCCCUUCGUUUUCGACUUACGAGUUUGAUUAUUCCGGCUAUGGUAUUUUUCGCCUCAGUACUCUUCUUUAUAAAGAUAGGUUAAAAAAAGAGGCCAUACAAUAAAGAGAAUCAAUUUACUCAUGUGUCGAAAAUGGACUGAUAAAAUCUAUGUAAAUAAACGAAAACUCGACAAAAAGACAACAACGAAAAUCAUAAAAAAAAACUACAUAAAAACAAUAGACUGUGCUAUACAAACUCUGCUCAAACCUGCAUUUAUAUCAGGUGUUACAGAAUCAAGAUGGGCAGAACUUUCUCCAAAAACAUUUUUUUUUAUUUCAACUUCAAAAUUUAGAUAGGAAUACACGCAAUUCUAUGUAUGAGUUUGAUUGCUUGCGUCGAUGUUCUAUGAAGAACGACAAGACAAUUUCUCAAUUUGAAAAUUAUCAUAGGUCAUCGUACGGCCAUCAUUAAUGAUAAAAUACCAUACCGAAUAGCCCGAAAUAGAAACUGGGUCUUUAAACCAGGUUAUCGGAUCCUUUACACGAGGUGAGCUAAAAAGGUAAUCAAUCAAAUGAAUGAUUUUUUUUUAAAUUUAUACAUUUUUAGAUGACAUGCGAUCUUUUAAAAUACUCCUUAAUGAAAAUUUUAUUGUAAACUGUAUCCCUUAAUUAUUUCAGCUGAAUGAAUUUACGUUUAUAUGAACAGGUAAAGGAAACAACAUUAUGUAACCGGGGUAAUUCUACACCGACGGUAUAGUAUCAUUUCCGGAUCACGUUACGUAACCAGGGUAACUCAACACCCUCAGUCUCGUUAUUAUUUCCGAAUAACAUCCGAAAAGUAUAUGUUUUGCUUCGUCAUGAUAGCAGAGCAGUUUUAUUAUUUUAUUUUUAAGUUUAAGAUUACUUAAAUGAACAUAAAAUUGCUUGCUGAUGCAUUACAAUUUAAAGUUACCUCUUAUAUGGUUGUAAAUACGUGUAAAAAAUCAAAAUAAGACUUUAAACAUCAAUUAAACGGUAUGGUUGUCGCUCAAUGUUAAAAAGCUAACAUUUAAUUUUUAUUGGGAAGGGUGAGGUGGGCUGGGAAAAAAAUAUUGUCUUGCCUCUUUUUGUCUAAAAUUUAAUACCUGCCCUGCCUUUUGUAUUAUUCUAUCUAACAUACAUUGUCAUCUUGCCUUUCUUGUCAAGUUGCCAAUCCUGCCUAAAAAGCAAAUGGAAGCUCCCUAAUUGCUAUACGGUUAUAAAUAUAUUUGUAGUUGUUAAUAUUUACCUCAUUCUGUCGUAAGUUGUCUCAUUGUUUGCAAUCAUACCACAUCUACUUAUUAUAUACUGACGAACUUCACAAUUUGGUCCAGGUACGUAAAUAUGGGAUGGGACUAAACUAUAUAUAUGGUAUGGAGUUUUCCAUUGUUGAAGGCGGUCGCUUCUAAUUUCUAACUUUACCUUUACUUUACUAUGGGAGAUCUAGUUUUCUCGUUCGCAAUCAUACCACAUCUCAUCAUUUUAUACUAUAAUAAUGCAUUGACAUACUAUCAUAGACAUGAAAUUAUUUAUAAAGAAGGAAGUCAAGACUGAGUGUGAACUGAUAACAUCUUUGUAGUUCAGCUUAAUUUGCUAAAUAUUGGUCAUCCAGGUUCUCGCGUGACUUUCUUUGCCUAUUAUAGUUGACAUAAGGUCGCGCGUGAAGAAGUGUGAACUGAUAGCAUCUUUUUAGUUCAGCUUAAUUUACUAAAUAUAGGUCAUCCAGGUUCUCGCGUGACUUUCUUUGCUUAUUAUAGUUCACAUAAGGUAGCAUCUUUUUAGUUGGGCUUUAUUUGCUAAAUAUAGGUCAUCCAUGUUAUUGCGUGAAGGUAAUUUGUAACGAUAGUAUCUAUGUAGUCGGCUUUAUUUUUUCAAUAUAGUUCCUAUAAGGUCGCGCGUGAAGGAAAUGUGAACUGAUAGCAUCUUUUUAUAGUGUGGCUUUAUUUGCUUAAUAUAGGUCAUCCAGGUUCCCACGUGAAGGAAAUUAGUAACGAUAGUAUCUUUGUAGUUAGGCUGUAUUUGCUAAAAUAUAGUUCAUACAGUGUUGGGUGUGCAGGAAAUAUGAUACUUUUUAUAAAAAUAAAUGAUAAAACGGGUUCUUUAAAGGAUUUCCGGUACAAAUUAAAAUCAUGCGUAGUUUAAGUCAUAUUUCGAUUUGAAACAUAAUCUUUAAUGAUUAUUUUAGUAAAUCAAAUAAUUAAAAUUAAAUAAUUCAUUUUGAAACUUAAUCUUCAUCAUUAUCGCUAUUUUAUAUUGUUAUCAAUAAUGAAUGGACAUUUAUGAAAAUGAGUGAAAUGGCGGCUGUGACCGUGAUCAUUUUUCAAUGCGCAUGAGAAUCCUAAUGUAGUACAUGAAAAUCGGAGUAUCAAAAACUCUUUUUUUUUUUUUUUUUUUUAUAUCUAGAAUGAUUUUGCAAAUGCAUGAAUUAAAUUUCAAUUCACAUUUCCUUAGAGCAUUUCAUAUAUACAAUUCAUAUUUCUUCAUUUUCCUUGCAAAAUGCUAGAAUAAUAAAAUUUAAGGUACGAUUAUCAAAUUUAAGUUUCAACUAAACAAUACGGAAGCUACUAACAAGAAAAUUGGCAUUGAACUCGUUUUAAAAAAAUACAACAUUUCAUAUUUUUAAAAUUCGACUUUAAUUCGAAAUUUCAACUUUUCAAAUCUCGAAAUUUUAAAUUUAACUAGAACAUUAUAAUACAGUGCAAACCAGGUUGCGUUCAUCAUUUAUUAAAGCCGGGUCAUUAAAAUAGAAACUAUUUACCACAACAAUCAUAGUGUUUGUUUCCGAUUUAUAGUGCGGUGAAUGAAGGCAGAUUUUUUGGAAUUUAAUCUCCCCACCGAACACACACCUACAUAAUAUAUCAUUGGAAAGAGGAAAUCGUGUACUAUAAUAAUAUGCCUGUCGUCAGGACUUGAUAUGGUCACAUUUUUUUUUAAAUUGAGGUCAAAGGUCAUAUGUAAAAAUUUGUGAAAAUUUGGGUGGGUUUCAAUUUUGACAUUUUUUUCUAUUUCUAAACUCUACCUCAAUACAAAUGAUACUGUUUUGGCUUUAGUAAUGUUUGUUAUUAUACAUAAACCUUAAUCAUUGAGAUUUUUUUAUCAAAAAAAAUUCCUAAAACGACGUUAUAUAAACAAAACUUCAAAAAUCAAGUUUUCAACCUAUAAAAUGUUAAGAGCACCUUAACCUUAUGAAAAAUAUCAAUUUCAGGUAAAAAUCAAGUGUCAUGCAGGACAAUACUUUAAAAUUAUUUUUUAAACUAUCAUAGUGGGUGAGGUCAUCAAACCAAAGCCAUAGAACACUACAGUCAAAUAUGACCUCAAAUUGAAUUUGCGGAUACUUCAGUUUUUUUUAUAGACUACUCGUUGCUUUUGUUUUUUUUUCACAAUUAUUACUGCUACCAUAGUAUUAUCUUUUGUUGUGUAUUUAACUCUGGUUAAUAUCUAUUACAUUAUAGGUUUUGUAACUAUAUCCCCCCUUUUUUUUCCCUUGCAACGUACCACAAACUUCAAAAGUAUUCCAUAUAUAAAAAAGAAGAUGUGAUAUGAUUGCAAAUGAGACAACUCUCCAAAUGAGACAUAAAACAAUUAUAGGUCCCGUACGGGUUUCAACAAUGAGUAAAAUUCAUACUGCAAAGUCUUCAAUACCCGAAACGAAUAAUGUAAAACAAACAAAAAAUCUAACGGCCUGAUUAAUGUACAAAAUAAAUAAUAAAGAAACAAAUAUAGUAUAUAGAAACAAACGACAAACACUGCAUUAUCGUCUCGUAACACUCCCCUAACCUUGUGCAACAAGCUUUAUACCAAAUCAACCCUUAUCUCCAUCAUGUUCAUUUUCAUCAACCGUCACAAUAUCAAUAACGGUACCAUUCUUUCUGCACCAGAUGCGCAUUUCGACUAUACAUGUCUCUUCAGUGAUGCUCGUGGCCAAAAUAUGUGAAAUCCAAAGCUUAUAUUAAAGAUGAAGAGCUAUAGUCCAAAAGUUCCAAAAAGUAUAGCCAAAUCCGUGAAAGGAACCAGAGCUUUGCAUGAGGGAGAUACAUGCCUUAAUAUAUAAUAAUUUCUACCAUUUUGUAAGAGCAAAUUUUAAUGAAACAAAAAAUCCGUAUUUUCAUGCCAGUACCGGAGGACUGGCUACUGGGCUGGUGAUACCCUCGGGGACUAAAAGUCCACCAGAAGAGGCAUCGACCCAGUGGUAGUAAUAACAAUAACGGUACCAUUUUUUCUGCACCAGAUGCGCAUUACGACAAUACAUGUCUCUUCAGUGAUGCUCAGGGCCAAAAUAUGUGAAAUCCAAAGCUUAUAUUAAAGAUGAAGAGCUUUAAUCCAAAAGUUCCAAAAAGUAUAGCCAAAUCCUUAAUAUUUCUACACAUUUCACUCAUGGCCACAGGUCUACACAUGAAAGGUUCUGCUCAAAGCAAACACGUUAUUUUGAGUUUUUCUUUACAAGUACAGACAAGGUAUUGUAGGAAGUCCGAAGAUAUUUGUUCCUAAAAAAUACCAGCUUCAAACCAUCCCUAUCAGUUCAUCCAAGAUUUAACAGAGAUCUAUAAGGGGGUUUAGGAAGGUGUGAUGACAUCCAUAUGCUUGUCUGCAAAGAUGCUGGGGAAACAUCAUACGAGAAGUACACACUAUCUUGAAUUCGCUCAAUUUCAUGGUUGGCAACACAUUAGAUAGCGUCGCACUUUACUUUAACAUGUUUAAGAGGCAUAAAAUCCUUUGGCAUUCAAUGUUUCAACAAGGUGUUUUGAACCAAACUCAUGGCACAUUUGUAAUGCCAAUAAAAUGAAAAGGAGUAAAACCAAAAUGAUUGCCUCAACAAUUGCUUAGCAUUUCCACAAUUUCUCUGAUGCCAUUUCUUGAGAAUAGUCUUGGCCUUGCAGUUUCAUGGAGUAACUAUAGAUACUUUUGCUGAAAUUCUCCAGUCAUUCAAUAGUUUACAAAAUUCUUCCAACAACACUUUACAUACUUUAAACUACGCUCUGAAUGCCCGCGAUCUCGCGGGUGUGUUCUAGUGAAGUUUAAAAGAUGGACGGGAAACUAUUUCAACUUUAGCUUUAUUUGACACGAAUAAAACAUUUUUAAUACGCUCAUCUGAUUCUAACUUGAGUAAUUUUUUAUCUUUCUAAAAUGUUUUGUUGCAACAAAAUAUACAAGCGCUCCAGAUGAACGACUGCAUUCUAGAACGUGUACACUGAAUACCCGAAACUGACGGACAACAGUCAGAUAACUGUAUAUCGUCAAACUUCCUGCACGGAGUUCUUCAAAUUAACAGCUAUCGCAUGAAACAUCUUGAUGUCCCCCUCAUCCAAUCUUUUAUGCAAUGCAGAUACAAAAGUCGACUUCCCUAAACUGGUAAAUUGACUCAAAAUUUCAAUCGAGGUUUUUUUAGCAUAUUUUUUAUUCACUGCAUAAAAUUUAACGACUUUUGUCUGUUCUUUGAACUUAAUCGAGCAAGUUGCAAAGGACUUAACAUAUCACGGAAUAUUUACUGAAACUAUCCGUCAAUUAUUUUGAUUUUACAAUAAGACUUUUCUGACAAAGUAUAUUUGAUGUUUUAUAACGAAAAAAACAUAGAAUAUAAUCAUAUACAAACAAAGUAUGUGGCAUAUAUCAGUGCACUUUAAUUGAAAAUAUGUGUAUAUAUUCGAAAAAGGUAGUAAUUUCAUAUAUCAUUUGAGAGCAAAUUAUUGACUAAUACACAAAAUGGGACGGAAGGCAAGUGAUUGAGUUCCGUGUUGAAAUUGAAGAUUUUUACUCCAUUCUUUUCCCAUUGAUUUCUUAAGGUUUUUUUCAUAUUUUGGUUCCGAAAUUUUUAUCACUUAUUAGUUUUAUUAAAUACUAUAUGCUAAACAUAUUAUGGGAUAAUUGUUAUUACUACUAUGAAGAAGAAACUAAAGUUUUAGUCUGAAUUUGCAAUUAAAAUUACCUCACUUUUAAAUAGUCUAAACUUCACAAAUUUUAUAGAUUAGAAGAAAAUAUAAUACUGAAUAGCAUAUUUUGACAUGUCAAAAUAGCUUCAGGAAAAACUAUUUCAAUUAAAUGUAAGCAAACAUACCCAUUUUUUCAUUUUGAAAAAGGGGGGUUGAAACUCUCAAAUAUACUACCAGUCAUUAAAACGACUUUUUAGAAAAAAGUGACCGUACGAAAUUCUGACGACAGGGCAAAAACUAAAGAAGACAUAUUUGUCUUUGAGUUAAGACCAUUUUUAGCCGUGUGUUAUUUGGGGAGAUUAAACUCGCGAUCUAGACGACUUUUUACACUUCUGUCACCGCACUAUUAAUCGGUGCGAUCAAAUUAACAAAAACUGUCAUUAUUGUUCUAUGAAAUACGAAACUAACGGGACUAAAUUCACUAGGGAAAGAUAGAGAUGUCACCUCACGAGGCUAACUACACUACUACACUAGGAACUAUCGAACUCCAUUACCUUUUUCAUUGUUCCGAACUACGCGUUACCGUAGUUUCCGAGGUGUCUCGAAGGGGUAACGCUAUAUCAUGAGAAAUUUAUUGCUUUUGUCGGCAUUUUUUUUAAUUAUCUUUGAGACAUAUCAUUUUCCUGUCUGGCAACUAACCCAAUGUAUUAUUAAUAUCUUAAUAAUUCAAAAAGUAUAUUAGCUUUCAUGUUAAACAGUGCAUGUUUUGAAUAAAUCAUGAAGUAUUUUAUUGUCACAAGGAAUUGAUGCCUGACUGUAAAAUAGUAAAUGUGUGAAUUUUUCUAAAGUUAUCGAAUGUUAUUGUUUUUAAGGCGGCUUUUCUCGUUUGAAUUUUGAAGUUUUACAUGUGUCUUUGGGGGGAGGGGGCUUUACAGCUGACUAUGCGGUAUGGGAUUGUUCAUUGUUGUAGGCCGUACGGUGACCUAUGGUUGUUAAUUUCUGUGUCAUUUGGUCUCUUGUGAAGAGUUGUCGCAUUGGCAAUCAUACCACCUCUUCUUUUUUUUUUAUAUUUCUUAUACCCUUAUGCAUGUUAUAGUUUUUUUUCUGGAAAUCUAUAUUACUAAAUGAAGUUCUCCGUUCCUGUUUUUUUUUUCAGUUUAGUACAAUUUUUCAAUUAAACAAAAAUUAUUAUUUUUUAUUUUUUUUAUUUUGGCACUUAAUACUUACUAUUUUGUGUGCUGAUUAUAUAAAGCCAAUUCAGACUCUUGUAAAUAUUGAUGGUUGCUUGGUUGCUUGGUUUCUUUGCCGGUUGAUGGAUUAAAUACCACUUUAAUCACGUGGAUGUUUAUAUCGUGGUAGCCAUUUUUUCUUGCCAGUAGUCAAUAAAGCAAAAUGUCGAAUUGCACCUGCCACGUUGACAGUCAAGUGAUACAGUAGAAGAACUACUCAGUCACGCUCUACAUAGAUAUAGGAAGAUGUGGUAUGAGUACCAAUGAGACAACUCUCCAUCCAAAUAAUAAAUAUUUACCAUUAUAGGUCAAGGUAUGGCCUUCAACAUGACCAUAUAAUUGAUAUUCUUCGGUGUUGACAUGAAUAUCAAUUAUAUUGUCAUUUUUUUAAAUUUCCAAUUGACAAAACUUUGAAUUUUCAAAAAACUAAGGAUUUUCUUAUCCCAUGCAGGAAUAAAUUUCCUUAGCCGUAUUUGGCACAACUUUUUGGAAUUUUUGGUCCUCAAUGCCCUUCAACUUUGUAUUUGUUUGCCUUCAUAACUAUUUUGAUCUGAGCGUCACUGGUGAGUUUUAUCUAGACGAAACGCGCGUCUGGCGUGUUAAAUUAUAAUCCUGGUACCUUUGAUAACUAUGGUAGGCCUCUAAAUGUUGAGGAAACUGAAUCGAAACGUUUAUGUUUAGUCCAUUUACAUGUUAAUGAGAGUGAUACAUGUAUAAUUAUUCGCCUGCUCAUUAAAGUUCAUGAAACAUUAUUAACGUUUUUCUUUUUCUUUUUAUUAUUAUUUGACAAUAUGAAAUUACUGUACUAGAAAACGGACUAGACAAUUAUCAAAGACAUAAACACAAUUAUAGUUCUCAGUUUCACAUCUGAGGUGUGUACGUGAUUCAUGCACAUAAUAUCUCCGUAUUUGAGUAAACUUUUAUUGUUUUCAAAUAUAUUUGUUUCAUAUAUAUAUUAUAAAAUGCAAAUAUAAAAUAUAGGAUUUAUGUCUCUCUUGGAAUAGUAUACUUUUAAUAUAUUAUGUAUCUGACAGCGUCUCUAUACAAAUAUACUUAACAAAAGUAUAUAUUUGUCUACGUGCACAAAGUAUUGCAGAUUCAUUUGCUUACGUUUGCUGAAUUUUUUGUUUUUGUGGUUUUUUUUUUUUUUUGUUUGUUUGUUUACAUCAUAGACAUUUGGUCUUUAUGGUAAUCACACCAUAUCUCUCUAUAUGCUAUUAAGAAUUUUGCCAACAGGCUCAUAUCAUACAAAAAGUAAAAUUUAAAGUGUUCAUGUGCCUUUAAUGUAAAAUAUAUCUAAAUUGAUAUCUGCACAGAAAUGAAAGGAUAUGGUAUGAUUGUCAGCUAGACGACUAUCCAACAUGCAGACACCAAAGCACCCGGAUGUAAUCAACUGAAUGUUACCAACACUUUAAUGAACAUCGUACCAUGCCUCUCUGUAUGUUAUAAAUAAUAUUGCCAACAGGCCGUCAUAGGAAAAAAAUAAAUAAAUUAAAGUGAUCAUAUGCCUUUAAUGUAAAGUGUAUAUAAAUUUAUAUCUGCAUGGAAAUACAGAGAUGUGGUAUGAUUGUCAGUGAGACGGCUAUUUAGCAGACACCAAAGGACCCGGAUGUGAGCAACUUUAGGGUAGAGGUCACACUUCAAUGAACACUGUACUUGUAUAUAUACUUGUGGACAUCCAAUGUGUCAUUCCUAUCGGAUAUUAAGCUGCACUUUAAUAGCUUUUCAAAAUGUCAGUUUAUAAUUUUUUUGGAACGCAAAUGAAUUUGACAUUUCCUGUUUGUGUCUCCUCUUAAAUUCGCCGUUUCAGAAUCUAAUGCACACUGGGUAAUAUUCUCAAAAGCGUACACCAUAACGUUGUGUUGGUUUAAAACGUUCUAAACAAUGGAAAUUCAACCAAUGAGUGACGUUAUUUUCAUUUUGGGGUACGGACAAUGAAAUUACCCAUGAUUCUUUAGAUUCGGAAACGCCUAAUUGUCAAGAACCUAAGCGGUAUGAAGAUAAAUUCAUCUUUAUGAAGAUAAGGAGAUGUGAUAUGAUCCCCAAUAGGACAACCAUUCUCCUGAGACGAAAGGCCGAGGAUGUCACAAGUCACUAUGCGGCCUUCAACAAGGAGCAAAACUGAUAUCGUAUAGCAUUAUAGAUACAUCAGAAACUGGCGUGACAAACAAUUCAAAUCAAUUAUGCUAAAAUAAUAAACGAAUAAACGAAAAACGAAUUUAGAGAGCAAGCAACAACCAAUGAUUUACAGGCUUCUGAUUUGAGGAGAGGGAUAUACAGAAUGUGACGGUGCUAAACAUCUUUGUUUUCACCCAUACCUCCCCAUUAACUAGGACAGCGUUGUAAAACAAACUGUAAAAUAAGUUGUAAAAGGAGGUCAUUUGAUAAUUUGACAUAGUCAUACUAUAAUUUGAUAUAGCUCUAUUUUUGAGGAACAAUAGAAUAAAACAAUUGAAACCGUGAUCAGAUAUAUAAAGUAACCUAUUUAGAUCAUUUUGAUCCUUAUCAACUGAAACCAAAACAAGUAAAUUGCGUUUAUAUUUCAAGAGCACACUUUAAAUACUUGAAAGGUUAAAAGCCUACACCCGGACUAUUGUCAUAGUCACAUAUUGUGUAAGUAUUCUAUAAAUAGAUGUUCUAAAUUCAGGACGUUCACUUUUUUAUGAACUCCCAAUACAAAGAAACGUAUAAAAUUAUAUUUGCAUAGAUAACUGUUCAAAUAAAAUUUGUUGUGCAUUCCAUUUAUGUCCUUGAAAACGUGACGUAAUAUCGAAAUACAUUUUCGAGAGUACACCUUAUCACUACGGCGUUAUAAAAUAGUACUCGACAUGAAAAGCUAUAUACAUAAUAAAAUUGAGAAUGGAAAUGGGGAAUGUGUCAAAGAGACAACAACCCGACCAAAUAAAAAACAACAGCAGAGGGUCACCAACAGGUCUUCAAUGUAGCGAGAAAUUCCCGCACCCGGAGGCGUCCUUCAGCUGGCCCCUAAACAAAUAUAUACUAGUCCAGUGAUAAUGAACGCCAUACUAAUUUCCAAAUUGUACACAAGAAACUAAAAUUAAAAUAAUACAAGACUAACAAAGGCCAGAGGCUCCUGACUUGGGACAGGCGCAAAAAUGCGGCGGGGUUAAACAUGUUUGUGAGAUCUCAACCCUCCCCCUAUACCUCUAACCAAUGUAGUAAAGUAAACGCAUAACAAUAAAAAUAUUUCAACUGUUACUGGGUGUUGGUGAAUAUUUCCGUGAAUUAAAUUCUAUAGUUGCAGAUCAAGAGUCAACUAAACAUGAUUAAAGACAACAAUGAUUAAUCAAAUGCCAACAUUGUAUCUUUCUAUGUUGUGAUGUUACACUAUUGUUCCAGGUAAGGGUGAAGGUCAACUAAACAUGAUUAAAGACAACAAUGAUUAAUCAAAUGCCAACAUUGUAUCUUUCUAUGUUGUGAUGUUACACUAUUGUUCCAGGUAAGGGUGAAGGUUGGCACCUAUUAAAACGUUUAAACCCGCUGUAUUUGUUUGCACCUGUUCAAAGUAACCUGAUGUUCAGUAGUUGUCUUUUGUUGAUGUGGUUCGCAAAUGUUUCUCGUUUCUUGUUUUUUUUUUUUUUUUAUAGAUUAGACCGUUGGUUUUCCCGUUUGAAUUGUUUAAUACUAGUCUAGUCAUUUUAGGGGCCGUUAAUAACUUGCUGUCCGGAAUCCGUGUUAAAGACCAAACCUAUGAUGGUUGACUUUUACAAAUUGCAACUCGGAUGGAUAGUUGUCUCAUUGGUACUCAUACCACAUCUUCUUAUAUCAAGCAACAUAAUAUAAAAGAAUACAAUUGGUCUAAUGACAUUAGUAUAGAAAAAACAUGUAUUUGACCUCAUUAAAAAGGUCAUUCUUUAUUUUUCAAAAAAUGGAUGGAAAAAUGUGUUCUGCAGUUUUUUUUCUAAGUUGAAGUAUCGGUACAGACAUUUGAUUUUUUAUCUCUCUUCCGUCUUGCCUUUUUUUCAGUUAAUCCUGACAAUUUUAACGUUAAGUGUCAUCCUGACUUUUUGGGGCAACACCCCCCCCCCCUAAAAAAAAUCAAACGGUAACUCCCUAACAGUCAACUGAACAAACUAUACUUCACCUUAUUAAAAAAAAUCCUUUUUCAUGACAUUUUGUUACUGAUCCAAUGAAAUAAAUAUAAUCGAAAUAAAAAAUCUGUAUCUUAAUAAAACUGGCAUGUGUACUUAGAAAUUAAAAUCAAUAAAAAUACAUUAGUUUUUAAGUUCACGAGAACUAUCUGAACAAAAUUAUCCUUUUCAUCUGUUUUCGUAACAUAUUUAUGAUCAAUUACCAUGAUAAAGGAUUUUUAUUUUAUUUGAUUGAAUGUUAUCUAUGAAUUCAUGUGAGUUUCCCUUACGGUAGAUUUGACUGAAAUGGUGUUAUUUUCAUUUAAAUAAAUAUAAUAUUUCGUUAUACUUUUAUGAUUUCCUACGUUUUUGUAAUCGUGCAUAUCAUUGCUAACCUCUCUGAGGAUGUGGACGGGGUCCUUCAUUUUAUUCUUUAUUUUUAGGCUCUUCUCUUUUUCUCUUUUCUUCAUAACUUAUGCCUGUUGUUCUUUAUUCUCCAUAAGUUAUUCCUGUUAUUCUCAAUUCUUUAUAUUUUAACACCCCCUUAUCCGCUAUUUUAUUUUGGUCAUUGACAGUCCCGAUUUCUUUAUACCGAACUUUAUCCGAUAUAAAGGAAAAAAAUACCAUAACAAUGAGUCGUACAAAACUACUCGAACUUUAAACGGACGUGGCAGUGAACUUAUACAUGUAAAUCCCGCUCAUCUAAAUAGAUGCUCCACUUUGCCGUCGGAAAAGGACAAAGGAAUGGACCUAAUAAAAUAUUUAGUUAAAUGGUUCUAUGCUAUUGUGAUGUUAUUUACUAGUAAGUACAGUUACACUGAAGCUGCCUUCAACUUCUAAUUUAUUCAUACAUGUUCAUUUGACUUGAAGGAUUCAUAUUUAAAUUAGCUCUCGCUAAAACGAGUACUAUUUAUGAAUCAAACUUUUAUCAGGGGGGUCGGUUCCGGCGGUUGGAACCCGCCAUUUUUCGGACGAUCAAAGCAUUUGAAUGGGGACAUGUAAUUGAACCCCCUUUUUAUCCUAGGUUGAGAACAUACCCUCUCUUUUUUAAAUGGCGAUGACGACAAAGUUGACCAAGUUUGCAUCAAAGGAAGAGAAAGAGCUCAUGUUAAAUGUCAAACACACAUCGGAAAACCGUUUCCGGAACCUGAAACUACCUGGCGCACAUGUUGUUCUUGUAUAAUUUGUUGACAAAAGCCUAGAGUACUUAUAUAUUUUUUUGUAUUAAAGGAUGUUGACCUAUAAUAGAUUAUUGUCAUCUGAAACAUGAGGCCCCUCAUGGGGGGUCCUAGUAAUCACAUAAUCACCAUUUUUUUGCCAAUAUAAUCACAUAAUCAUUAAAUAUUUGCUUAUCUUUAGUAAUCAAAUAAUCAUAAACUAAAAAUACAGUCCUAGGUAAUCAAAUAAUCAUGAAAUAUUUGGCUUAAUAAUCAAAUAAUCAUUAAAAAAAAUGGCCAAGUAAUCACAUAAUCAAAAACCCCAUGAGGGCCCUCAAACAUCUUAACACUUAUUGUGUUUCUCGGGUCGUAUGACAUUCGAGCAAUAUAUAUAUCUUUUGUUUUCAACAAAGACUAAAAAAUGUAGAUCUAUAAAAGAAACUGAUACGUAUAUUUGUAUAUUGAUACUUUAUUAACACUGUAUACAUGAAGGUCUUGGUGAGAUUUACAGAUUAGAGAAUCCUAGUAGAAAAAAAUCAAAAUAGAGCAGAAUAAAAAGAAAAAUAUGGCACGGAAUCAGGGUCAUAAAUAUCGAUUUUAGUAUAUCCUAAAAUGAUUUCAGUAUAUACUAAAUUACAUUUUAGUAUACCCUAAAUUCAUUUAAUUCAUUUUAGGGUAUCCUAAAGUCAAUUCAGUAUAUACUAAAAUGAUUUUCGUAUAUACUAAAAUGAUUUUCGUAUAUACUAAAAUGAUUUUCGUAUAUACUAAAAUAAUUUUCGGAUACCCUAGUAAAAUCAAUUUAGCAUAUACUGAAAUAUUCAGCAUAUACAGAAAUAUUGGCGCGGAAUCAAGGUCAUAAAUAACGAUUUUAGUAUACACUUAAUUGAUUUUAGGAUAUCCAUAAUUCAAUUUGCUAAUAGUUUUGUUCACCAAUGAAAAGAUCGCUUUCUGGACGAGUUAGAAAGACAGUCAUUGCGACCUUGCUAAGAUGUGGCAAAUGUCCUCUCACUUGAUUUCAAACCUUUAAAUAGACUUAUUUGGAAAGAACAUAGUUACGAUACUGUUGACAGGUCAUUAAGGAUUGCAUACUUUGGUAUUAAUAUUGAUUCACUCCUAUUGUCUUUGCAUCGGAAAUAAACACAUUUAUUCUAUAAACAGUUGUUGGCAUGAUACGGGUUAUGUUCUUCUCAUAUAUUUUAUGAUGGUAUGAUACUAAACCCCUAACGGGAGGGAAUUUACUUGAUUUUCAUAUGAUGAAGACAUAAUCUUUCAAUCAGUUUAAUUGAGGUCUGCAGCUUGCAUGUCAGUCCUUUGUUAAUUUAUGUAUCACAUGUUGUCAUUUUGCUUGGUUUCUGUUGUUGCCUAUUCUGAUAUCUGACUCGGACUUCUUUUGAACUGAGUUUCACUGUGCGUAUUGCUAUGUGUUUCUUUAUUCUACCGUUGAUUUGCUAGAGGUAUAGGGGAGGGUUGAGAUCUCACAAAACAUGUUUAACCCCGCCGCAUUUUCAGUUGCGCCUGUCUCAAGUCAGGAGCAUCUGGCCUUUGUUAGUCUUGUAUGUUUUUUUUUUUAAUUUUAGUUCAUUUAUAUGUUUUGGAGUUUAGUGUGACAUCCAUUUUUACUGAACUAGAACACAAUGUUAUUAAGGGACUAGCUGAGGACUACCGCCGGGAGUGGGAUUUUCUCGCUGCGUUUAAGACCCAUUGGUUGCCUUCGGCUGUUGUCGACUCUUUGGUCGGGUUGUUGUCUCUUUGACAUAUUCCCCAUUUCCAUUCUCAAUCUUAUCUAAUAUCUCGUGGGGCGGAUGCAGGAUUUUCAAAGGCAUAUGGGUUUAUUAGUAAGUUUGAAAUCAAUCAGACUUCGUUUAGAUGGGACAUGUCUUCAGAAUGAAUAAAGAUGAACAAUAUGGGGAGGGGAGUGUUAAAGAUUGAAAAGUUAAACGUUUUUUGUUUGUUUUGUUACUAAAUGAAAUGCACAAUAAAUUUAUGUCCAUCUUUUCUUGGUUAAUCUUCCUCUUGGCUAAUUCAUUUAACGAUUUAAAAGUACAUCAAACGGAACUAAAACUGUAGACGAUGUGUGUUAUACGUCAAUAAGACAGCAAUCAAACGACAAAAAAACACUUUAUAGAUAUAGGAAGAUGUGGUAUGAGUGCCCAUGAGACAAUUCUCCAUCCAAGUCAUAAUUAUAAAAGUAAAUCAUUAUAGGUCAAGGUACGGUCUUCAACACGGAGCCUUGGCUCGCACCGAACAGAAAGCUAUAAAGGGCCCCAAAACAAGUUAAUAGUGUAAAACCAUUCAAACGGGAAAACCAACGGUCUAAUCUAUAUGACACCUGGCAAGCAAAAACGACCCUUAUGGCAAAACUUAUGAAUUAUUAGAUUUUUUUCUUUAUUAAACAGAAAAUACUAAUGCCAACUUAAAAAUUUGAAAACGAUCGGUAAAAAACUAAUUGAGAAAUUUCAAUUUUGGUUACACAUGAAAAUGUGUUCUAACGUAAAAUUCAACAUAACGUUGGAAUCAUACACUUUGACGUCGAUUUAAGUUUGCUGCAAUUUACUAGUUUACUCUUCUCCUGAUGCUUGACAAAAUGGAGCCUGAUAUUCUUUUCUAGCGCCGAAUUUUUGAAAAUAGAUGUUCCUACCUAACACGUACAAGUCCGGAUGCAGGAAUAACUACAGGACGAGCCAACAGAUCAAACUAUUAUAGAGGAAGAUGAAGAGUAUCUAUUUCUUUUUAAACUUGUACUUUUUUUGGGGCAUAAUUAAUUCCUGAUUUAUCAUGAGGAACGAUGAAAUAAUGGUACUUUCUGAUACCAUAUAAAAAAGAAGAUGUGGUAUGAUUGCCAAUGAGACAACUAUCAAAAAAGACCAAAAUGACACAGACAUUAACAACUAUAGGUCACCGUACGAUAAUAGGUUUAAACAAAACAUAAAAUUGGUUUCUAAUCUCUCCAUUGCUAAGUAGUUUCAUCGUUCUUUUGCUUACCAUGCUAAACGACUUAUCUUAUUGAUGAUAAGUUUCGAAAGAAUUCUGCUACAUGAAAUACAGUAUCACUGUUUGAUCAUCAGUAAUUUUUCUAUCUUGACAAAUUCUACCAAACGCUUAAUGUGACCAAAAAACUAGGCAUAUUUUCCGAAUAUCGUCCAGUUAACACACACAAAGCAAGAUAGUCAGUCAUAUGUCGAUUUUUUUCUCCUACAAUAACAGAACAAUAAAUACUUUUAUUUGUUGGAUUUCAAAUAUAAGAAUUUCUUUUUAUUUUGGUAUCGAUUUCAUUUAAUUUUCAGUGUUAUCUUAAAUAUUAUGAUAAUUAAUAAAAAAAAAAAAAAAGCACUGAAGUGUGAACUCCUCAUUCUUCCAGGGCACCAUAUAUUUUCCAUGGGGUUCGUGGUGCUCAAUUUAAAUAUACCCUCAAAUGAAAAUGUAUUAUUCGGUAUAUUAAUUUGUUUAUAUUUUCUUGGUAUUUUUAUUACUGUUGAUGUGUUUAAUCAAAUAUUUUAAACAGGACUCUCCAAUACUAUAGAUAACAGAAAUACAUCUCGACAAACUUAUUUGUCGUCAAAAGUAUAUGUAAAAUCUUGUUCGCUUUCGCUCUCGGGAUUUAUCUACGCCUUUUUAAUCUAAUUUACCCAAUAAAUACAUAUCUUUGCAUUCUUUGGAUAGUUCACGCUUAGAGAGUAUGUGCCUUAUUAUUUCAUCCUGUUCGAAUUGGUUGAUACGUAAAAAAACCACGACAAUCUCUAGUUAUUUUGGCCACCUUCAAACGUUAAAGUUAUUUAUAUAUCAUUAUCUUCAAUGUAAAGUAUGACAUUUUAAUAUAAUGACCAGACCAAAACGCACGGGGGGGGGGGUAACUUCCUAUUAUUAGGUAUACGGGGAUGUGCCAAAAAUAUGGGUCAUAAUUUUGCGAGAUUUAAUAUAAAAAUGACCCUCCUUUUUAAUGACAUCCUAUAUUAAAAUGCAUUUACGUUUGAUAACUGUAUAUUGAUUUGGGGUAUGAUCUACAUAUCAUUUAUAAAUACAUGUAUGCUAUUGAGAAUCUUACAUUAUUAAUAUUUAUGAAUUAUGAGUGAUGAUGAGUUUACUUAAGCAUGGCGCAUGGGUCAUAUUUUAAAUAUUGUAUAUAAGUAUAGGUCAUUCUUUCCUAAAUAUUUAUAUAACUAUAGGUACUGAAUUUCAGUGAAUGUUAUAUUAAAAUGGGUACGUUUUUUGAGGCAAAAAUGGCACACCCCUACCAAAAAAAUAUCGAAGUUACCCCCCCCCCCCCCGUGACGGGGGGGCCAAAACGUCCCUCUGGUAUCUUUCGCCUCUCUUUUACAAGCAUUCGAGACGAUCAAAUCACAUCAAAUAAGUUUUAUGUUAAAUUUGCAGGAUAGUAACACUACAACAUAAGCUCUGGGUGAGCUUUUGAACCAACAGAACGAUUUAGUUUAGACACCAGUCUAUUGUUAACUUGAACACUAUAUGUUGCACUCUACAUAUGCUAAUGUGGUUCAUAAGUGUUUCUCGUUUCUCGUUUUUUAUAUAGAUUAAACCGUUGGUUUUCCCGUUUGAAUGGUUUUACACUAGUAACUUUUUGAGGGCCCUUUAUAGCUUGCUGUUCGGUGUGAGCCAAAGCUCCGUGUUGAAGACCGUACCUUAACUUAUAAUGAUUUACUUUUAUAAUUAUGACUUGGAUGGAGAGUUGUCUCAUGGGCACUCAUACCACAUCUUCCUACAUCUAUUAGGUAGUUUUUGUCGUUUGAUUGCUGUCUUAUUGACGUAUAACACACAUCGUCUACAGUUUUAGUUCUGUUUGAUGUACUUUUAAAUCGUUAAAUGAAUUAGCCAAGAGGAAGAUUAACCAAGAAGAGAUGUAGAUAAAUUUAUUGUGCAUUUAGUAAACAAAACAAACAAAAAACGUUUAACUUUUCAAUCUUUAACUCUCCCCUCCCCAUAUUGUUCAUCUUUAUUCAUUCUGAAGACAUGUCUCAUCUAAACGAAGUCUGAUUGAUUUCUAACUUACUAAUAAACCUAUAUGCCUUUGAAACUCCUGCAUCCGCCCCACGAGAUAAAAGAUAAGAUUGAGAAUGGAAAUGGGAAUAUGUCAAAGAGACAACAACCCGACCAAAGAGCAGACAACAGCCGAAGGCAACCAAUGGGUCUCCAACGCAGCGAGAAAAAUCCCGCUCCCGGAGGUAGUCCUCAGCUAGCCCCUAAAUAAAAUUGUGUUCUAUAGUUCAGUAAAAAUGGAUGUCACACUAAACUCCAAAACAUAUAAAUGAACUAAAAUUUAAAAAAAAAACAUACAAGACUAACAGAGGCCAGAUGCUACUGUCUUGAGACAGGCGCAACUGAAAAUGCGGCGGGGUUAAACAUGUUUUGUGAGAUCUCAACCCUCCCCUAUACCUCUAGCAAAUGUAGAAUAAAGAAACACAUAGCAAUACGCACAGUAAAACUCAGUUUAAAAGAAGUCAGAUAUCAGAAUAAGCAACAACAAAAACCAAGCAAAAUGACAACAUUUGAUACAUAAAUUAACAUAGGACUGACAUGCCAGCUGCAGACCUCAAUUAAACUGAUUGAAAGAUUAUGUCGUCAUCAUAUGAAAAUCAAGUAAAAUCCCUCCCGUUAGGGGUUUAGUUACAUACCAACAUAAAAUAAAUGAGAAGAACGUAACCCGUAUCAUGCUAACAACUGUUUAUAGAAUAAAUGUAUUUAUUUCCGAUGCAAAGACAAUAUGAGUGAAUCAAUAUUAAUACCAAAGUAUGUAAUCCUUAAUGACCUGUCAACAGUAUCGUAACUAUAUCCUUCCGAAUAAGUCUAUUUAAAGGUUUGAAAUCAAGUGAGAGGACAUUUGCCACAUCUCAGCAAGGUCCGCAGUGACUGUCUUUCCAACUCGUCCAGAAAGCGAUCUUUUCAUUGGUGAACAAAACUAUUAGCAAAUUGAAUUAAGGAUAUACUAAAAUCAAUUAAGUGUAUACUAAAAUCGUUAUUUAUGACCUUGAUUGUACGCCAAUAUUUCUGUAUAAAUUAUGCUAAAUUGAUUUUAAGGUAUCAUAAAAAGAUUUUUGUAUAUACUAAACUCAUUUUAGGAUACCCUAGAAUCAAUUUAGGGUAUGCUAAAUUAGAGAAAAAUAGGUCCAACAAUUAAAUAUACAGAACAUUGGCUAUGCGGUGCAAAGCAUACAUAAUAUAUAUAAUAUUGGGCAAAAUAAACAAAGAAUAUAGAGAGAAAAAUAAGGAAUAAAAAGAUGACGGAUCCCUAUCCAGGCCUGUGCUAUUUUUCUGUUCAGUAAUAUAUAUAUGUAAUGGUUUGAUUGCAUAUGUGUACUUAUUUCUUAGUCCUUCAUGUGCGUCUGAGAUGGCAAAUAGACUACAAAAAAAAAAUACCUUACAUGUAAAAUUCUUCAAUGUUGCGUUCCACCUGUUAGUGUACUUAUUUGUUAGUCUUUCUUGUGUAUUUGAGAGAUAUUAUUGACACAAUUCUCCACAAAUACCAUGGAGAUUUGGGUAAACUGGUCCUCCAUUCCAUCUCCGCACCAUCGGUAGCGAUAAGUUAACACAACAGGGUUUAGUUUAUCUGGAACGAGGACCCAUUUAUAUCCCCCUUAGCUUCAAUGCAACUUUAUCAUAAUUGAGGGCAGAAUUUUGUAUUCUCUAUAUUUCAACUAUUAUAAAAGGUUAUCAUUUUUAUCAUAUUUUAUUGGAAAUUCUUUUCGCAUUUAUCCUUAUUUCUUUACAACUUAUAUAUGAUUGUAUAAAUAGAUGAAAUCAAAUACCCAGCUAUUUUGCAAAUCUAGUUCAAAGCCAAACUGUUCAACCUCGUUAUGAUUUCAACCUUACUUUGUACUUAAUUGAUAUUUUUUGGUACCCAUUUGACUAGAUAAUAUUUGUACAUCAAAUGUUACCGUUUAAAUAAACCCAUAAUAUAUUCACAUCAUAUUUUUAUUGUUUGCUUUGAUGUUAUAUGACAAAUAUAAUUAUGCCAAGUGCAAGAUCAAAAGCUGAAGGUCUCAAAUUAUGUUGGCUGAUUUCAGAUGAAAAAUAAAAAAGGUAAAAUUAAAUGUGAUGAGUGAAUGUAUAAACAAGGGUCUAUAUGGAGUUUACAAAUUACAGAAAAUGGGGUACACAAAUAAUGAUUGAUUGGUUUUUGGUCCAGUCUCAAAUGUUUCAUUAAUGUUCAGGAUAAGAACAAAAUAACAGGUAGGUCCGGUUAACUGGGUUGCAAGUCGGGAAAAUCUAAACUGCCACGGGAAAUGAGGGUAAAUUGAAUAGGGACAGAAGUUUAGCCUGGUAACAUGCCACCUCUGAGGGCCACUGAAAGAGUUGUAAGGGAUCUUCACGUGCAGAGAGCGUGACACUCGCUCUACACGAAGCAUCAGAUCUAAUAUCCUCAUUCUGACCGGACAUGGCUGCGUACUUGAUAAAUCAUGCACUUCCAAACGGACCGUCACUUUGGCAAGGGUUUUCCUAACGGUCGGAAGAAGAUCUGUAAUGACCAUAUUUCUAUUCCCAAGUCUUCCUGGAUUGAUAAAUAUGAAAAAUGAAAUAUAAAGAUUUCAAGGUUGAUAAACGUGUAAUAUAAAAAUUGAACAUAAUCGUUAUAAUGAAUAAACAAAAUUUAAGAACAGGGAACGAAAACUGGCUAGAAAAUGAGAAAAAAAAACAGAACACCUUCCCAAACAGACCCUCUUGUUAUUUCAAUUGGUGCAUCAAUUGAUGUGCUCAAGACAGAUACACAAGUUAAUUGUGACAAUAAUAUCAGUGUGUCAUUAGGUCAGGUCAGGUCAGGCUAGUUGCGUAAUUUAUUUAUAGGUUUUAGGACUGGAAAUAGUUCACUGCCCUGCUUCGUUAUUCUUUAGUAUAUUUUAUUACAAAUUUGCAUAUUUGUUUGUUGAAUCUGUCCUCUUUUCUUUUACUAGUUAGAUCUUAAUCAAUUUAAAAAGUCUACAUUUACGAGUUGUAUAUACAUAAUGUACACAGCCAUGUAUCACCAUCAUUGCUGGUGAUCCGAUGGAUAAAUCUGUUGUAGAGUUGUCACUGACUCCGACGUACUUAUUAAUAUAAUUAUUUUCUGUGACUGUAUCUUGCAUUAAUGUGUAGGAUCCUUUACUGUAGAUAAUUGAGCUGAUCUGUAACAAUAACAUCUCCAUGCCCUAUAUAUCAUGUACUGUAGUACGCCGCUAGAUUAAAACUGACGAGGAAGGUAACACACGGCCACCGAAAGCUUUAUUUAUGUGAAGCCCAGGUGGUCGUGUGGUCUAGCGGGACGGCUACAGUGCAGGCGAUUUGGUGUCACGAUUUCUCAGUAGCAUGGGUUAGAAUCCCGGCGAGGGAAGAACAAACAUUGUUGGGUUGAUGUUUAGACGAGUUGUAUAUAUAUAUAUAUAUAUAAUAUAUAUCACUAUAGAAAAAUUAUAUAAUUUGAUCAACAUUCAGAUCUUUCGGAACUCGUGUAGUAUCCGAAGGUCUGGAUAUCAAACGACGAUUGCGUGAUUUUGAUUGGUCGAUAAAUUCUUACAGUUUUCUCAAAUCAGGCGAUCCAGGAUUUGAAAUUGAUUUAGAGAUCCCAAUCCGUCCCUUCUAGUAGAUAUGGCCAUGCUUAUUAAAGUGUAGCCUAGGAUAAAGUUCUCAAGUUUUCUCAACUCGAAAAGCUUGAGAAACUUUUAGACCGGAUCUUAUUAUAGAAGGUGGUUACUGAACACCGACGGAAAUUACAUUUAUUGGGACAAAGUCAUACAAAAAUUAUUCUUUGUAUACAUGCAUAAACCACCACUGCAUUUGUUUGCACCUGUCUUUAGUCAUGAACCUGAUGUUCAGUGGUUGUCGUUGUUGAUGUGGUUCAGAAAUAUUUCUCGUUUCUACGAGUCUCCCUUUUGACGACCGUACUUUGACCUUUAAUGGUUUACUUUUAUAAAUUGUGACUUGGAUGGAGAGUUGACUCAUUGGCAAUCAUACCACAACUUAUGUUUAUAUAUGUAGGCACCAUUCUUCUCAUACUAAAGGACAUCUGGUGUAAAUGUACUAUAUUUACUGCUAACAUACAUUUCAUAUACAAGUUAUUGAUCCAAGUUAUUUUUGUACAUCAAACAACAAUUACUAAUAUAGUAUGAUAAAUUUUUACAUUGUAUUGUGUGACUUACUGCUUUAUCAAAAUAUGAAAAAUAUAUAUACAUUGAAACCUGGCUGAAACAAAUCCUGCAUAAACCAAAAACCUAAAUAAACCAAACAUGUUAUAAAAGCAUUGUUUUAUCAAAUUGUAUGCGUUGUGAACCUGACAAACCCGCACAUUUGCCAACACCGAAUAAAAUCUUAAAGUCCCGAAGAGGUUCGGUUUAUAAAGUUUUCACGGUAUGAUAAUGAACGAUCGUAAAACAGCUUACUCCAGCUGUAUGUAAAAUAUUUUAUUUAAAUUUGAUUGUAUUUAUUCAGCUAUUUAGUGCAUAGUUUAUUUUAAUGGUUACUUGAAUACCAUAUUGAACAUGUGGUAGUAUACAUAAUAUAUACAAGUAAUGUUGUUAAAUUGUGAGUUAUUAUGUAAGUUCAUGCAAGUCUAUAUAAUAUGCACUUUAUAUUAACUGUAUUCUUGGGUUUGCCGGCGUUUAUACUUUCAUAAUAGAAAUAAUGCCGUAUGUUACGAUUUUCAGAAAUACUUUUCUAAUGAAUAAAAAGUUUUUUUACUUUUUGAAAAAAUGGACAACUUGCACAUGCGGAUCCAGGAUUUUGGUAGGGGGAUGGCAAGCCAACGUUGGGAGUAAUAUAUACUUGUAAUAGUCUAUUCAUUUGUCAUAUAUAUAUCAAAUAUGAAGCUUCAUAAGUAUGCCCCGGCCCCCUGUCCACCUUAAUCCGACUCCUGACUUUUUAGGGGUUGACCGUUUGAUUUUUCUUUUAGAAUAAGAAAGUAAAAAAAUAGAGUGAGAGAGGGAAAUUAACAGAAAUAAAAUUGAGAAUGGAAAUGGGGAAUGUGUCAAAGAGACAACAACCCGCCCAAAUAAAAAACAACAGCAGAGGGUCACCAACAGGUCUUCAAUGUAGCGAGAAAUUCCCGCACCCGGAGGCGUCCUUCAGCUGGCCCCUAAACAAAUAUAUACUAGUCCAGUGAUAAAAACGCCAUCUAAUUUCAAAUUGUACACAAGAAACUAAAAAGUUAAAAUAAUACAAGACUAACAAAGGCCAGAGGCUCCUGACUUGGGACAGGCGCAAAAUGCGGCGGGGUUAAACAUUUUGUGAGAUCUCAACCCUCCCCCUAUACCUCUAACCAAUGUAGUAAAGUAAACGCAUAACAAUACGCACAUUAAAAUUCAGUUCAAGAGAAACAUGACUGCCAAAUUCUUCUUUGAAAAAUCAAGUUGUGUUUGUUUAGCUGCCAUCAAAAAACUUAUUUUCCAUUCGAUGAACUCGUGUAAUCCUCGAUGUUUCUCUUUUAGUAACUACGUAACCUUAAUGAAAAGGUGUGCACGUUUUACAGCGUAAUUAUCAAAAGAAAAUCGAACACUUUGAUCAAACGCGCUUCAGAAUUACUCCUCUGAAUAUUUGUCAAAAAUCAGUGCACUAUUUUUUCCGCGUACUCGUUUAUCCCUUCAUCUUAACUACGUCAGCAAAAAAUCAUUAUAAGUUCGGGUCGUACAUUUUAAAAUGUAUCUAUUUUAAAUAACAUGUUAAUGAAUUGAAAUAUACAUGUCGUUUGCCUUCAUACGACCCGGAACGCCCACCAAAACAGCCUAUGGUUACUAAAUUUGAAUAAAAUAUGUCAUAAUUAGAUUUAGUUGUUAUUCGAAGUGAAAUUAAUCAUAUUAAAAGCUUAUAUCACUUUAUUUGAUGUAUUGGAGGUGGCUAGGUACAGUAUAGUACAUGUAAUUGAAAUGGGAUACACGUUUAAACUACAAGGUUAUUUAAACAGGGAAUAGGUGUAAACUGGUCCUGGUUUCGGAAAUUAAUGCAUAUAAAUAAUAAAACGUUGUUUUGAAUUUAAAACUUAUUAAAAAAGUGAAUAAAUUGUCACGUGUUCACAUUUAGACUGGAACAGCCAACACACGUAUAAGACUUUAAAUUUAUGCGAAAAUGCUCCUUGCAUUUGAGCAUGUUAACCUGGGUAUAGGAAUAUCACUGUAUUAAAGAGAUAAUCGUAACUGGGAUUACGACGCACGGCACAUAUAGGUAAAAUCUUUAAAGUCAUUUUUCUCAAAUGUAGCAUGUUUUUGUCAAUAGUUACUCAGCUACAAGGUUUUUCUAUAUCAUUUCAUCAUAUUUGAAUCGUAACGGUGCACUGGAAUUGUUUAAGCGCUUUGAAAAUUGCCGUUGAAAAAUUCGGGAUGAUAAUCUUAACUCUAUGGCAUUUUUCUUCUUUGAUAAUCGUAAUUUCUUUAUCGGAUAAUAGUAACUAAAACAUAAUAAAUGUGUCUUUCAGUAUUUCAAUGGUAUUUUGUGUGUUAAAAAUGCAAAUGUCCAGUAUAAAGAUGACAUUAACGCAUAUAAAAAUAAAUGAAGACACUUACAGGUUAAUAUCUAGGACAAAUUUACUUAUAUAUCUCUAUUUUAUAACUGACAACAAUAUGCACAACCUUUUAAUAUAUGCAUGAACCUGUUAAAGAUGUGGAAAAUGAAGCAGUUGUCGAGUCAGUUAUUGUGGUAAGUAUACUGUAGAUAUUUUUAUUUUUUUCAAAGUUUUAAUGUCGUGUGCGCGUUUAAGUUUUUAAUUUUUUUUUUUGGCGGGGGGGGAGGUAUGAUUAGCUAAUAUCCUAUAUCCCAAAAGUACAAUCUUUUCAAUUCAUUGCUCAAAAUAAAAGUCACGUAUACCACAUUUUCAUAUGUCAUAUGUUUUGCCUCCAAUACUACGUUUAUACUAAAAUUCUGGGCGAAAUGAACAAAAGUUUCCAUCAAUGACUUUAUAACUGCAUUAUCGGAUUUAACAGUUGAUAAUUUUAUCGAAAGAUAUGAGUGUUCAUAUUUCCCUUUACUUUACAAUUCAAUAAAUAUAGCCGUCCAUAUUUUAUCCCUUGGAUUUUCUUUUUUUCUAUUUUAUGCUGAUAUGAUAUAUGAUUUUAAAAAUUAAAUUCAAAUGUUUUGAUCAAUUUAAUACCCAUGUAUUUUAGGACGUUUCUUUAAACAGUGUGGAUGGUAAAGGAUCUAGAAUAGUUACCAGUUUAUUGUUACUAUUGUUUAUUGUUACUAUUGUUUGUUAUUGUUUAUUGUUACUUUGUUUAUUGUUACUUUGUUUAUUGUUAUUUUGUUUUUUUGUUUUUAUUACCCUAACCUAUGGUCUUACUAAGCAUAAAUUUUGACGCACUGAAAAAAAAACCCAGAAAUAUAUAUGAUAUAUAUGUAUAUUGAUGAAUUACAUCAGAAGGCAUAACUUGUAGAUCAUCACAGUCGGAACUGGUUCAAUUAGAAAGAUUUUUAUAGAUUUUAAAACAAAUAUUUUGUGCUUCAGAAAAAUGCAUGACAAUUAGGUAAGGCUUAUUUUUGUUAUCAUUUAAUAGAAAAGUACUAAUUAUAUGGCAAGUAUGCAAGUACAAAAAUGUUCCUUGUUUAGUACCUUCAAUAUUUUCCCCUACAAUAUCUUCCAUGCAUAUGUAUGCAUCAUACUUUUCAUAUACCAAGUAUUUUUAAAUUAGUUUGUUUCUAUAUGGCGGAAUAUGCGUUAUUUUUUUUUCUCAACAUUGCAGUCAUUCUUUGAAUAAGUAAUUCUUGUAAGAAAAUUUUAAGCUACAUCAAAUUUAUUUCUUGAUUCGCAGGCUUUUGGUCAAACUAUAAAAUAACACAAAUCCGUGUUUGUCAAUGAACUCCACGUUAGAAUGUGCUUAACUUCAUAAGACACAAAGCAUCCCAACCUUUCUCUAGUCUUAUAUAGCAUUGAAUGUUUUAAGGAUGUCAUAUUAUUAUAAUGCAAAAUUAAAUUGGUGUUGUUUAUAGUUAUUUUCUGAGAUAUCGAAAUUUCAGUGACGGUCAUGAAGUAGCUAAUAUAAAAAAACUAGAGGCUCUAAAGAGCCUGUGUCGCUCACCUUGGUCUAUGUGCAUAUUAAACAAAGGACUCAAAUGGAUUCAUGACAAAAUUGUAUUUUGGUGAUGGGUGAUGUGUUUGAAGAUCUUAUUUACUGAACAUUUUGCUUUUACAAUUUAUCUAUAAUGAACUUUGCCAUUAGUAACAGAGAACUAUAUUUGGUAAAAAUUUACAAAAUUUACCAAAUUAUGAAAAUUUGUAAAAAUUGACUAUAAAGGGCAAUAACUCCUAAGGGGUCAAUUGACCAUUUUGGUCAUGUUGACUUAUUUGUAGUCUUACUUUGCUGAACAUUAUUGCUGUUACAGUUUAUCUCUAUCUAUAAUAGUAUUUCAAGAUAAUAACCAAAAACGGCAAAAUUUCUUUAAAAAUUACCAAUUGGAGGGCAGCAACCCAACAACCAGUUGUCCAAUUCAUCUGAAAAAUUCAGGGCAGAUAGGUAUUGACUUGAUUAACAAUUUAACUUUUUGUCAGAUUUGCUCUAAAUGCUUUGGUUUUUGAGUUAUAAGCCAAAAACUGCAUUUUACCCUAUGUUCUAUUUUUAGCAGUGGCGCCAUCUUGGUUGGUUGGCCAGGUCACGCCACACAUUUUAAACUAGAUACCCCAAUGAUGAUUGUGCCAAGUUUGGUUAAUUUGGCCCAGUAGUUUCAGAGGAGAAGAUUUUUGUAAAAGAUAACUUUUUAUGAAAAAUGGUUAAAAAUUGACUAUAAAGGGCAAUAACUCCUAACGGGUCAACUGACCAUUUUGGUCAUGUUGACUUAUUUGUAGAUCUUACUUUGCUGAACAUUAUUGCUGUUUACAGUUUAUCUCUAUCUAUAAUAAUAUUCAAGAUAAUAACCAAAAACAGCAAAAUUUCCUUAAAAUUACCAAUUCAGGGGCAGCAACCCAACAACGGUUGUCCGAUUCAUCUGAAAAUUUCAGGGCAGAUAGAUCUGACCUGAAAACAAUUUAUUCGAUGUCAGAUUUGCUCAAAAUGCUUUAGUUUUUGAGUUAUAAGCAAAAACUGCAUUUUACCCCUAUGUUCUAUUUUAGCCAUGGCGGCCAUCUUGGUUGGUUGCCGGGUCACCGGACACAUUUUUUAAACUAGAUACCCCAAUGAUGAUUGUGGCCAAGUUUGGUUUAAUUUGGCCAGUAGUUUCAGAGGAGAAGAUUUUUCUAAAAGAUACUAAGAUUUACGAAAAAUGGUUAAAAAUUGACUAUAAAGGGCAAUAACUCCUAAAGGGUCAACUGACCAUUUGGUCAUGUUGACUUAUUUGUAGAAUCUUACUUUGCUGAACAUUAUUGCUGUUUACAGUUUCUCUAUCUAUAAUAAUAUUCAAGAUAAUAACCAAAAACAGCAAAAUUUCCUUAAAAUUAAAUUCAGGGGCAGCAACCCAACAACGGUUUGUCCGAUUCAUCUGAAAAUUCAGGGCAGAUAGAUCUUGACCUGAUGAACAAUUUUACCCAUGUCAGAUUUGCUCUAAAUGCUUUGGUUUUUGAGUUAUAAGCCAAAAAACUGCAUUUUACCCCUAUGUUCUAUUUUUAGCCAUGGCGGCCAUCUUGGUUGGUUGCCGGGUCACCGGACACAUUUUUUAAACUAGAUACCCCAAUGAUGAUUGUGGCCAAGUUUGGUUAAAUUUGGCCCAGUAGUUUCAGAGGAGAAGAUUUUUGUAAAAGUUAACGCGACGGACGACGACGACGACGACGCCGGAGCCAAGGUGAGAAAAGCUCACUGGCCCUUUGGCCAGGUAGCUAAAAAUAAGAUCUUGGUAUAUUGUCAAUGAGACAACUCUCCACAAGAGACCAAAAUUACCGAAAUUAACAAAUAUUAAUAUAACAAUUGGCCGUAACAAUUGCAUCUUCGCUCAUUCCCAUAUUUUUUGACAUUCCUAGUUCUUGGAAAUUUCUGUAUAUCAACAUAGUUCGUGGUUCAACCAUUUCCAAAUUUCUUGAAGCUUGUCCAAUUUUAUGAUAUACUUAAUUUACUAGUAUGUAGCUGUUUCCAUUAGAACUAUUAAUAAUAUAUGCAUAAAAAGAAAUGUCAUAAGAUGUUGGAACGGUUCGUAAUUAAUUCAUCGCCAUGAUUUCAUCAUAUGCUAUCAGAUAUACGUUUUUAAAUAGUGUCAAUAUCAAUAAAACACUUUCCAGACGAUUAUCUUUUCAUUUUAAUACCUAAUUACGAUUAUCUUUUUCCGAGUAACGAUUAUCAUCCCGAAUUUUCAACGGCAAUUUCAAAGCGCUUAGACAAUUUAGUGCACCGCUACAUUCAAAUAUGAUGUAAUGUAAGAAAAACCUUGCAACUGAGUAACUAUUGAAAAAAACAUGCUACAUUUGAGAAAAUAAUUGAAAAUUUUACCUACUGCCUCGCCAAUUGGGAUAGUCGUAAUUCAGUUACGAUUAUCCUUUAAUACCAGUGAAUAUGGCAUCCAUUGGUCUUCCUGUACAGUGGUAAACAAAUUUUAGAGGGACGCAGGUUUGACUGUACGGGAUGUAUAAAUACGCAUGUGCGGGAUGUAUAAAUACGCAUCCACACCAUGUUGGGAUGGAAACGCUUAAUUCUCCCACGUAAGAUUUCAUAUUUUGAAUCGAGUGCAUUAUUUUCACGUGUGUGUCCUUUCCAACUUUUUCAGUUAGAUGGAAAGGGAAAAUAUUUAUCUGUUCGAAUUCUCUCAUUGUAUAGCGUAAGCAAUAUUUUAUUGUGAAAAUAUUAAUAUAUUAAUAAUAAUUUUAUGAGCAAAAUACGCUCAUCUUGUUCAAGCAAACAUUAAUACAAACAUAAAUUAUACAGAUAGUGAAGAAUUUCAAAUAAAAACAAAUAAACAAAAAUAAAACAAAAAAUAUUUUAUUGUGAAAAUAUUGAUAUAUAAUAAUAAUAAUUUUAUUUGCAAAAUAAGCAGACACAAAAAUACAAACAUAUCUACUACAGAUAGUAAAGAAUUUUAAAUAUAAGCAUAAAAAACAUAGUUAUAAAUGUAAACAUUACAAUAUGACAAUUUUAUUAGUAUUAAUUCUUUCAUAUCAAAGAGCAUCUACUAUGUUUUUUUUAAUUUUAUGGUUAACUUACUAGCAUGUCUGAAAAAUAAAAUAGAUUUUUAUUAUUGAAGGCCUUUGCCCAUUGUUAACACUUUUAUAGUUCAUGUAUCAAAUGAUUCUAAUCUUUUUCGUCAAAUUCGGUAAAAUAGUAAAGUUUAUGCGUACAUUUAUGAUAUGACCUUGACCUUGCAUUAAAUAAUUCAUAGUAAUUGCUUUUUGUCAAGAGAAAGCUAUUUUGAUGCGCUAGUUGGAAUUCUUUGUACUAUGUCAACAGGAGAAUUAUGAAUAAUGAAAAGUUUGAUGAUAAAUUGGAUAAUUUUAUAUUUUCAAAGAGAAUCCGGAAUUUAAAUCAAGCAUGCAAAAAGUAUAUUGAAAUUCAUUGCAUUUUCAUCAUUGAAAUUUAUUGAAUAAUUUGUCAUAGUUGUUAUAAUUGUAAUUAAUAAUAUAUGAAUUUUAUUUCUGGCGAAGAAACAAUACAUGACCUUCACCAGCAUAAUUAAAAUAUUAAUAGUUUAUUCUGGAUUGAGGACAAUAUCAUUCUUAGAAUGGUAAUGUACUUUCCAUUUUUAAAGCCGAUCGUCUUAUUUUAGUCAAUAUGGUGCAUUUAUCUUAAACUUGAGAAAGAAAUGGGGAAUGUGUCAAAGAGACAACAACCAGACCAUAGAAAAAACAACAGUAGGAGGUCACCAACAGGUCUUCAAUGAGGCGGAAAUUCCCGCACCCGCAGGCGUCCUUCAGCUGGCACCUUAAAAAGUAUAUAAAAAAUUAUACUAGUUCAGUGAUAAUGAACGCCAUACCGUAAACUCCAAAUUGUACACAAGAAACUAAAAUUAAAAAUAAUACAAGACUAAAAAAUGCCAGAGGCUUCUGAUUUGGGACUGAUUUGUUUCACAUCUGUAUCAUUACUUUAACAGGUUGCAGUUGACUGCCCCAUUGGCAUAUCAUGUAUGUACUAAUGUUAAAUUGUGAGUUAAUCGAGAAAAACAAGUGGUUAUGUAUGCCACGAAGAAAAAAAAGUUCAUAAUCCUGAAGUCAAAACAUUUUUUUCUACUUUCUGUUUGCUGUUUUUACUAGUAAUCAUGAUAUCCUUACAUAUAUGUAAUAUUUGCCACUGGACAUUAACUUAACAAACAAUAUCCAACAAACAAAAACAGCAAAAAAUAAAUCAAACUUAACCAUUAAAAAUUGAAGAUGAAUCAGGUACCAUAAUAUAUUUAUUCUUGCUCAUUAUAUUUUUCAUUUAUACGCUCGAUCAUAAGUGUUUGUUAUUUCUCCAGCAUUACUUGCAUGCUUUUACUUCGUGUUAACAAUGGUCCCAUAAUGCUUAUUCAUGCUGUACAUGUCGUGCUCUGUGCAAAACCACGUGAUGUCUAUGCGGAGACAAGUCUUUUCAGUUUUUCUCAGGUGUAAGAACUUUCAAAAUGCAAUAAAUCAUAUUUCCCAAUCAAAUGUGUGUAAACCAUUGUUAGAAAUUCAUGAUUAGAUUUCAAAUGACGACAUCAUCUAUUCUAUUACGUUAAAUUGGAGCUGUUUUAUAAGAGGUUCAGAAGGGGAUUUACAGAAUAGAAAAUAAUAGACACAAAAACCAGAAUGAAGAGUAAAAAAAAAUGCUAAAAAAAGAAAGAGCAGAGAAUUAUGUGCCGAAAAAGAUAUAGAAUAGAUGAUAAAUUAUGAACAAAAAAAAAAAAGAACAGAGAGACUUGUCCUUGAAAAUUUAAUGCAGAAAUGAAGGACCCCAAUCUAGCAGAAUCUUUACAGAAAAAGUAUAAUACUGAGAGUAAUUUAUGGCGUCAUUUACACCUGUUGGGAAUAAUUUAAGGCAUGAACGUAGCUAAUAGCUUGAAUAUUGUAUACACUAUACUGCUGUUUAUGAUGAUGCUUCCUCUGUCCUCUUCUCCCUAUGAUUGAUUAUUGUUUCACUCUCUCGUCUUCUCAUGUUUUAUGCAGAAAACUAAUAGUUAAAGAAAUACUCAUAAAGGGAAGGCAGACAAAAAUUGACCUCUUGUUCAUGUGCAAAUGUGAAUUGGUAGUUUAACAACCUAUAGCACAAGCGUUAAAUUACAAAAUUUAACACCAUGACUUUCAUAACUAUAUUAAUUAAGUUCAUUUUUAGGUGGAGUUCGUAUUGCUAAAUAUAUACCAAAGUCACAACGAAGCAAACGACGAAAAUACAAACAAAUGUCUACAAAAAACAUCAAACAAAUUGAAUACACAUGGGGUGAUACCAAAGAGGAAUCAUAUCCUGUUCAACGCGAGACACGAGUCAUGCUGCUAAUUGUAAGUACGCAUUAGUUUUAGGUAGCACUCCACAGUUAGAAAAUAAAAUUAAAAAUGAGCCACACAAUGUUUUAUCUCCUAUUCCAGGAUUUCUAAUACAUUACCCUAACUGUUUGUGUUGUACAUGUGCAUGUAUAUGUAAUCAGUACCUUCCAUAGAUUUGAUUUUCAAAAGUUAAAAGGGUGAAAAAUAAUUCCCUUUAUAAGUGCAUCUAUGGGAAUAUUCUGCAUUUAUUUAUCAUAAAAUAUUGCAAAAAAGGGGGGUAAACAUGUCACAUAUCCACCCAAAAUUUGGAUCAAACUAGAAUUUCAAUGCCUUUGAGUGAUACCUUUUAAGAAACUGUUUUUAUAAAUCUUCCUUAUGAUCAAAUAAAAAAAGGGUGUCUUUCGCCUCAUUUUUUCGUAAAAUCAAAUCUCAAAGUUCGUGCGACAAAAAGUUGGAAAAAACAUUACAAUAAUUGCCGGACCAAUGUAUGGUAUGAACAUACAAAUACGGACUGUCAUACAGAAAACAGCCUAUAUUUUACAUACAUUAUAUGAUCUAUAUAUUCAUAUAAACCCAAUACGAAGGCUAUUUUAAUACUCAGCUAUCCAGAAAUGAAUUUUAUUGCACACUAGCUCUUACAUUUGAAAAAUCCACAGGGGUCAAAAUGCGAAACUACACACCUAACUGGAGUGCUACCUUAGUCCUCGCAAUUGAAGAAAAACGAGACCGGAAAUGUAUCGAUGAUAAUUAGAACCUGUUUGAGGUCAUCUUUAUGAUACAGGUUUUUUAAUAAAAGUUAACAAACUCAUGAUGACUUCAGAUCAAUCGUAGUUGGUUCUAAAAUUCCACAUGGAACUAGGUUAAACGCUAAGCAUCGAUAUUAUCAUACGGAGUCUAUUUUUCAAUGAAAGUUAGUGCAAGAGAGAAAUGAACGAUACAAAAGGACAUUCAAACUUAUAAGUCGAAGAUGAGCUGUCAACGAUAUGGCAAAUCAAAAAAGAAAAACUUAAAUAACAAACAACAGUAUACAAAAAAAAAUUAACAUAGAAAACUGAAUAUCCAGCAACAAGAACCCUAUCAAAACAAGGAGAAGAUAUCAUGUGCUUACAUAUGCCUUUGGAAAAUUGAAGUUCGUAUUGCUUUAAAAUUAUGCGUACGAUACUACAGGGAGAAUAAUAACUCAUACGCCAAAGAACUUGUCCCCUUGGUAUCUUCCGUCUCAUUUUCACAAUCGGCAAACCUCGGGUUACACCGCUUCUCUUCGGAAUAGGCCGAGUCGUGACGAAUGUCAUUUUCAAACUGAAUGAAAGUGAAGCUGUUGUUGGAUAUACUGAAUGCCCCAAUAUUUUAAAGUACAAGUACUUGUAAUCCUGUAGUGACACGUUUUGUUUUAAAUUAUUUUAACCAGGUUAAAUAUGUACAUGUACCAAAGUCUAACCGAUUUUCCAAACUUGCUUCAUGUAUGACAUUGAUAUAAGUUAAACUAUAAUAUGACUAUAUUCACAAGUAUUUGUAAUAGUAAAAGAAAAAAAUAAUUCAAUGUCAGGAAAAACAUUUUCUCAAUCUUUCAAAGACCUGCUAUAUUUAUUAAUCUUACCUUCUAUACAUUUCUAGGAAUGUGAUUGGUUAACAGCGCCCUCGUGGAGACCGUGUAUAUUUGAUAUUAGGUUAGUAGGGAGGAGGGCUUAGCUUAUACACGGUUAGUAGAGGUGUUACGUCCCUUUAUAUUCCUUAUAAGGUAGUAGGUAGGCGGGGCUUAUUUCAUACACGGUAAGUAGCACGCGGCUUCAUAUCUGUACACCUAUCGCAAUCAAAACUAAUGCCCGCCCCUCCGCUUUACACAAGUAGACCCGAUUAGCAUUUCUCUCCAUUCUUUGGAUUGAAAUUCAUGUUUACCAUAUCGAUGACAAUAAAUUUGAGAACGGAAAUGGGGAAUAUAUCUAAGACACAACCUGACCAAACAGCAGACGACAGCAGAAGGCAACCAAUGGGUCUUCAACGCAGCGAGAAAAUCCCGCACCCGGAUGUGGCCCUCAGCCGGCCCCUAAAUAAAAUUGUGUACCAGUUUAUUGAAAAUGGACGUCACACUAAACUCCAAAACAAAUAAAUGAACGAAAAUUAAAAAAACAUACAAGACUAACAAAGACCAGGUGCUCUUGACUUUGGACAGGCGCAAAAAUGCGGUUAAAAAAGUUUAUUUACAUUUUUACAGUGGAUUGUCUACUUUUUUUGUACACUUCCUGCUUUGUUUUCCAAUAUAAAUUAAACUUGUAUGACAUAUAACAGUAAAAACAUCACAUACAUAUGUUGUUUUCAAAAUGAAAUCAACAGAUUUUUGAAUAGGUUAUAACAAAAUGAAAUCUGUGUCACCAAGGCAUUUCCACUUCGUGUACAAUUAAUUACUUUCAUGUUUUUCAGUUAUUCAUAUUUAACAUUGUAUAAUAUAUACAUAUUUUCUGCAUCUACGAUAGAUAAUUUAGGGAGCUACCAUUUGAUUUUUAUGGGGGGGGGGGGGGCUAGGAUGAAAUUGAGAAAAAAAUAGGCAGUACAGGAGUUUUGAGUGAAAAAAAAGGCAGGAUGAGACAAUUGCCAAAAAAAAAGUCAGGACGACAAUUUAGUAAAAAAACAGUCAGGAUAAACUAAAAAAAAAAAAAAGAAAGGACCAAACAGAGUGAAAAAUAAAAAGGCAGGACAGAGAUUACAGCUAAAAAAAAAAUGCAGGACAAAAUUUUUCAUCCUAGCCCCCCCCCCAUAAAAAUCAAAUAGUAGCUCCCUUAG
Molecule: long non-coding RNA, 49596 nt
Filed under: Mytilus galloprovincialis (Mediterranean mussel)
Lineage: Eukaryota; Metazoa; Mollusca; Bivalvia; Mytilida; Mytilidae
Source: RNAcentral